GAUCAACACCAACGAUUGAAGUUUCGUUGAGAGUUCAAGUGAUUGCAAUGACAAACACCCUCCCUUCAGAGACAAAACUUCAAUUUCUUUCAUCCCUUCAAAAAACCUCUGAGGAACAUUCAAACCAUCAUCCACUUCUAAUAAUAGAACUUUGAGCUGUGGACAUACCAAUCCUUCAGGAAGUUCUGCUAGUUUAUUGCCCAUUAACGAAAUUGUUGUACAACCUUCAAAGCUUUUAUCAUUGGCCACUCCUUCAACCCAAUGCAGCCUUUACCAUGAAUCCAUAUUCUUCUGAUGAUGCUAUCUGAAUAGCACAUCACGAACCAAGUCAUGCAUUUUCACAUGUUCUUCAGUUUCAGUCCCAACAGCAACAACAAUCUUUGAGGUUUUGAUUGCCACAUAAACUCGUUUCCUUGCAUCUUCAAUGGGCUCCCAUCUUGAUGUAACCCAUAGCCAACUGCAUAUCUCGUCAAGUCCUCGAUUGGAAUGUUGUAAUCUUCUGGAAAUAAACAGCAUAGCAAGAAACAUAACUUGGUUUCCUUGCUUCAAAUAAUCAUAGCUCAACUUAAGACAUGCAUAUGCAUUUUUUUCAAUUUGUUCCAUGUCCGGAAAUUGAGAGUUUUUGAGCUGUUAGACACUUCCCACUCAACUUCAGAUUUAUCUCUUAGAGCCUUCCCACUGUCACAAGUGCUAUAGGCAAGCCUUGGCAUUCCUCGCAACCUCCUUGCCACUGUGUUCAAGGUAGAGUCCCCAUCACGUAAACCUGCAUUGAUUCUGAAUAAAUCCCAUGCUUCUUUUUCAGAAGAGACCUUAAAACACUUUUUCUGGCACUCCAUAGAAGAACAUAUGCCUUGAAGACGUGUUGUUAGAAGAAUUUUACAACCCCUGUGAUCAUCACCAAAUGGGAUCCCUAUCUCUUUCAAGUCAAUAUGUUUCCAAACAUCAUCCAGGAUUAUAGCAUCUUCUUUCCCUGCAGUCUCUGCCAUAAUCGAUCUGCUCUCCCUUCUUUACUCUUUUCUUUAAAUUCCAGACCUAACUUCUGCCAUUCGAUCCUGGAUGUCUAUGACAUUUGGAUUCUGGACACCGUAGCCAUCAAAACUUCAUCAAGCCGCUGCAACUCUUUGGCUCUCCUGCCUACUUCUUUCACCAGGGUGGUUUUACCCACCCCUCCCAUGCCGUACAGUCCGAUCAUAUUGACGUUGUCAUCUUUGAGAGCUUUCAUAAUCUGUUCAAAGCUUCUUUUGAAUUCUGAGGGCGUGAAUUCCUUUGAUGGAGAAAUUCUAUGGGCUGAGGAGGAGCUUUGGGCCACUUUGUAAACUUUUUUUCUAAAAGUUUUCUGAAAGUCUCCGACUUCUUGGCCAGUGCCUUGCUUAACUUGAAUUGUCGCAUGCAGUUUGGACACCAAGUAAAGCAUUUGCCAUUUUUUCCUAUUUCAUUUUCCAAGGGCUUCGCACCUUCAAUUUCGUUGUUUGCAUCUUCCAGCCACUUUUUGACAUCUUUGUAAAUUUCUUCAGCAUUCCUUUCAGCAGCUUUGACAUCAUCUUGCAGACGUUCUUUUGCCGAAUCCAGGUUCUGCUUUCGUUCAUUGAAUUCUUCAACAAAAUGGUUGAAACAGAACAUGUAACGGAACUGCCUUCCUACUGGUUCACCAUGGGUUCUGCUAUCUUAGAUAUAAUGUCAACCACACUUUCGAAAGUCAUUUUCCACCGACCUGAAAAUCAGAGAAAUAAGGAUACACAGAACGUGAGAGUGAGUCUAUGAUGACCAUCUCUUAUCACACGUUCAGGUAAUAUGAUUGACCUAUAACAAUAUUAAAAAAAAAAAUAAAAACUAAUAGAUGGUCGCCACGUGUUCAACUUUAUCUACCAUUAGGAAAGGAUAGAAAGUAGGGGAGAGAGAGAGAGGUUAAAAGGCUUUAAAAAAAAAAAUAGAUGGAGAGGUUGAGGGAGGCAGAAACGGAAGGAGACAAUAUUGAAAGAUCGGAAGGUCGGAGGAGAGUAAAGAAAAGCUUUUUUUUUUUCAACCUUUUCUAUUAACAUGUUUCGUAAUGGGCCAUGGUAUUUUGUUUCUAUUUUGUCUAUGUUUUCAUCUAGAGCUUGAAAAAACAUCAUGUUUUUGGGUUUGUGCCUGAUCAUGCAAAAAAAUUUUGAUGUAGGCAGAAGCUUAAAACACUAAUUAAAGAAUAUAAAAUUUUUAAUGAGUGAAAAGAAAUGCAGAUAUGAAGUUUUAAAUUUACCAGUUUAUUUUUUAAAAAAUAAUAAUAAUGAAGUUUGUCUUUUUAGUAAGUUUACAAUAUUUUAAAUACACCAAAAACUCUAUUUCAAUUAAAAAAAAUUGCAAAGGAAAGAUGCAUAACAUCCAAAAUAAGUAAAAAAUCAAAAAAUAAUAAGGAUACCAAAUGUGAGAGUGAGUCCCUACAAGUAAAACAGGCGCAGAGAGAAUGGGAAUAGGAAUUUCAUUACCUCAAUUUGGGAAAAUAUGUGCGAAAAGCACUGGUACUGAUUGCUCAAUGAAAUAGCUCGUUUGUUAUGUGAUGCUCGUUUAUCUAUUUGAUUGGGAUUUUUUUGUGCCUUUGAUAAAAACACUCUUUUUUUUUAUCUCUUUGAUUGGAAUUUGUUUGUUUCUCUUUUAUUUGGAAGAUCUUUGGACACUUUAAUAAUAUAAUAACAAAAAAAAUUAAAAUCUUGAUGAAAUUAUUGUUCAUUCAAACACAGAUUUGCUGUGGACUACAAUUGUAUUUUUUCCUAAAUUUUAAGUUUUAGUUUUAAUUUUAAGUUAUUUAACGUCUUUUUAGGGGAAAAAAAAAACAACGCUCGUAACAUAGUGCAGUCCAAACAGAAGAGACAUCUCUUGAGAAAAAGAAAGAAAGAAAGAACCCUUUCUCCAUUAACCGAACCCCAUAACUCCAGGAAAGUAAGGACUAAACCAUAGUGUAAAAAUCUUAAAAGGUUCUAAAUUAUCUCUGUUACUUUUCCUUAAUUUUCUAGACAAGCAAAAGGAGCUAAACUUAUUCCCGACCAAAACGUCAAGAAUUUCAGUAGAACAAAAGAAGAGAUUAUUACUUGACCAAAAACAACUAGUCAGCAUCCAAAGAAACCGAGUGAAUGAGAGAAAAAGACUAUUAGCUAGAAAACAAUCAACAGAUCCAAGAAUUUUCUGUAUGUUUUCCAAGAAAAUGAAACGAAAUGAGCAGCACAACCCUCUAAAUCCUCCAAGAAAAGAAAGAAAAAGAAAGGAAAGAAACAAAGAUAGUAGGUUAGUGUUAGAAAAAAAAAAAACAAAGAAGUUCGAGGAAGUGGGAAGCCUUUUUUCUGCUGUUCAUGUGGUGUUCUGGUGUUCACGCAGACUAAGAACUCCUACCAUCGUAUAAUCAUAUAAUUAAAACACAACAAUAAAAAAGUAACAAGCAGCUAAUUAUGUGCGAAAAUCAGAGAAAUAAGGAUACUGAACGUGAGAGUGAGUCAUUGCAAGUAAAAGAGGCGCAGAGAGAAUGGGAAUAGGAAUCUCAUUACCUUAAAUUGAGAAAAUAUGUGCGAAAAGCAAAGAUUGCUCAAUGAAGUGGAGAAGGCCUUUAGCUCUGUAUGGAAUCCAGCUUCAAAAGGAACAAGGCAAGGUCUAAGCAUUUUGAUGACAUAAUUAAGAUAAUAUGCGUAGUAAUAUAGAGACAGUGACAAAGAAAUAAAGAAAAAUUAUGUGUAAAAGUAAUCACCUAGCAAAGAAAGAAACGAAUGAAAGAUUCAGCAUAAUCACUUAGACGCCUCCAUGGAUGAUACCAGCUCGCUUCCAACAACACAUGUAAUUAACCUAAGCUAAGAACGGUCAAAGUUUUUUUUAGUUUUCUUCUUUUUAAAAAAAAAAAAACAGAUCAUCAAGGGAAAAAACUUGCAAAGAAGUAGAAUUAAUGGAAUGAACACAACAAAGGAUCAAACUCAAGCAAUUAAAAGUAACUGUCUAUGAGUACCAUCUGUGUCUCACACUCAAGUGAGGAGAGAAGGAGGAGAAAGAAAGCAAAGGGACAAGGAAGGCAAAAAGUAAGGUCACGUAGGGCCAGUCUUGUAGAAAGUUUGAAAAGUAGCAUGACAGAAGAGGAUAAUAGUAUAAUAUUUGAUAUAUGAAGCUAUGCUAAGGGAAUGAAGCUUGUACCACCUAUAAUAAUAAAAAUAAUUACAUAUUAACAAGCAUCAUUUGAUUAGUAAGUUUCCAAAUUCUAUCCACAAAUAUUAUAACUUAGCUAGAUUUCAUGCAAGCAAUUCCUAACUCUAGUAUUUUCUUUGUGUUAAAAAAUGGAGACUUCUUGGUGUUCGCUAAAGCUUGGGUAUACUAUUUUUGAACAAAUAACAAGGUAAAAACAUCUUUUUUAACGAUAUUAAAAUCAUUUAUUCAUUUAAAGUAUCAAUAUUGUCAUUUAUAAUGAAACAUUUAAUUUUACUACAUUGAAAAUACAUUGACCAAUAGAAUCGUUGCCUUUAGCCAACCCCAAAUUUGUCUAUCAUCAUAUAAUAUUGAUCAUUACAUUAUGUGAUUUACAACUAAUGAUAGGAUUUCAAGGACAAGUCACCACAACAUUAAUAAAUUCACAUCCUACCGACCAUUAUGGCUGUUAGAGCUCUCUAAUUGAGUUGCUAAAUGGAUAGUUAAAAAUAAUAAAAAAAAGUAAUAUUUUAGUUUUUUUUAUUUGUAUUUCAUACUCCAAAGAGAAAAUCAAAUGAAAUGCUAAAAUGCUUUUUUUUCCCCAUAAAUGUUAUUCCUACAUAUCUCUUAAAAGAGCUAAAACUAACAAAGUAGGGUCCACAAAAGAAUAAACCAAUUAAAUCUAGCCACGUAAAAAAAAGAUCAAAAUCAUUAAAAAAAAACAACACUUAUUUAUUCCACUCUAAUAGAAUUGGCUUUUCAAAUGGAUUUUUUCCAUUGGAAUACACAUGGUAAAAAAAGCUAUAUUUAUACUAUUUAAAAUGUUAUUUUAUCAAUUUACCUUUUUAAAAUAGCAUCUCCAGAUGCUCUUAUAAAAUAGCAAUGGCCAUCCUUUGGCCAUCAUGCCAUAAAAGCCUCAUUUUGAGCCACUUUCUCUCUCUUGCUCUUGCAAAUAAGGCACGAUUAAGUAUAUUUAGCAGUGUGGUAGCGGUUGCUUUUCAAAUAAGCUUUUAAACAAAUAUGCUUUUAAAUCAGGUUAUCCCGUAAAACCUGAGAUUUGCGUUAUGAAAGUUUGAUAACUAAAUAUUAAAAAAAAUGACGGUUUACCCAGAAUUAACCGGGUUAACCCAUCAAACCAAGUUAACCCAUCAAGCCCAGGAUACGUGUCAUGAAAGUUUGAUAAUUAACUUGAAUAGACUAAAUUAAAUUAAAAAAAAAUAACUCGUCAAAUCAGGUUAACCUAUCAAACUCGAGAUUCGUAUCAUGAAAAUAUGAUAACUAAAUAAAAAAAAAAUUAACAUUAACAAACUAAAUCAAACAAAAAAAUUCAUUAAAAAAAUUAAAAAGAAAAAAACAGUCAUAUAAUAUAAUACAAUAUAAUAAUAAUUAUAAUGAAAAAACAUGGGGAAAGCUAAAGUUCAAGCUAAAUUCUCAACCAACUCAAUAUUAAAAAAAUAAAUUUAACAAAGAUAAUUUAAAAUAUAAACAGUGGGGGAAACACUGCAGCCAAAUAAAAAUCAUGCAAGGUAAACACUGUAGUAAUCCAUAAUGUUUUUUUUUUAAAAAAAAGCUACAAAGCUAAGUUCUCAACCAUCUUAAUAUAUAAAAAAAACCGAGAUCCGUGUAAUGAAAGUAUAAUAACUAAAUUAAUUUUUUUUUCACAUUAACAAACUAAAUUAAACAAAAAAAAUUAUUAAAAAAAAACACAAAGAAAAAAGCAAAAAAAUAUCAUGGGCAAAACGAAAAAAAAAAAGGAAAACAAAACAAAAAAAAAAAAGUUUAAGUGUUUCACUGUGUGCACAGUGAUACAUUAUAUGUAAAAAACAGAAAAAACAAAGCUGCUACAGUGAAAAACCCUCGCGUUAAACAAAAACAAAAACAAAAGCACAAAAAAAAACUGCUACAGGAAAAAAAACCAAAAACAAAAAAAAUGCCAUAGAAGAAAAAACAAAAAAAAGGGCAAAAAAAAAAAGCUUUAGCUACAGUGAAAAAGCUACACGUUUUAGAGUUCUUAUUAAACUUUCAAAUCAAGAUAACCCGUCAAACCUUAGAUUCACGUCAUGAAAGUUUAAUAACUAAAUAAAAAAAAAAAUGACGGGUUAACCUGUCAAGCUUGGAAUACGUGUCAUAAAAGUUUGAUUAAAUAGAAAGAAAUUUAACAUUAACAAACUAAAUUAAAUGAAAAACAUUAAUUAAAAAGAAAAAAAGUAAAAAAAAUAAAAUAUCUAGUUAACUCGUCAAAUCAAGUUAACCCGUCAAACUUGGGAUCAAUUAACAAACUAAAUUAAACAAAAAAAAUUAAAAAUUAAAAAAACUAGGAAAGAAGUCAAAAAAACCCAUAAAGGUAUAAAAAACCAAAACAAAUACAGAAAAAAAAUGAAAAUGAAAAAUAAUAUAUAUUAUAAUAUAAUUAUAAUUAUAAUUAUAAUUAAGGAAAGACAGAAAUAAAGGAAAGGACGUGGAAAUAGAAGGAGAGGUUGAGGGAGGCAGAAACGGAAGGAGACAUUGAAAGAUCGGAGGAGAGCAAAGAAAACAUGUUUGAGUGGGAUUUUUUUGUGCCUUUGAUAAAAAUACUCGGUUUUUUUUUAUCUCUUUGAUUGGGAUUUUUUGUCUCUCUUUUAUUUGGAAUUUCUUCGGACACUUUAAUAAUAUAAUAACAAAAAAAAUGAUUAAAUUAUUGUUCAUUCAAACACAGAUUUACUGUGGACUCCAAUAAUUAAUAACAAAUUAUUUUGAAUUUUAGUUUUUGAUAGCCAUGCUCGUUUGAUUUUAUUUUUAUUUUUUCCCAUACUCUUCCAAAUAAUGCAGGAAACGAGGACCUGAAAUGACAGCAGCGAAUAAGGAGAGAAAUAACGUGUUUGUUCUUUUUUCUUAUAAAGUAUUUUAAAAAUCAUUAAAUUAAAUUUUAUUUUAUUUUUAUUUCAAAUUAAUUUUUUUAAAAACUAAUUUGAAAAUUAGUAUGAAAAAGAGGAUAAUAGAGUAGUUGUCCAAAUCAAAACACAUAAAUAUAGGACAAAAACAGGGAUGAUAGAGUGCUCUUUGUUUUCUUAACUGUAUUGGUUUAAUGAGGUUUAUAAAUAUUUUAGAUAAAAAAUAGGUUAAAAGCAAGUUUUUAAAUAAAAAUCAAGCUUAUUUUUUUAUAUAAUUUAAAUAAAAUCAAUUUAUUUAGUUGUUCAGAAUUAUAACUCAAGUUAUAACUCAGGAGAAAAGAAUUGUAAAGAAGUAGAAUUACUGAUACGAACACAACAAAGGAUCAAACUCAAGUACUUAAAAAAAAAAAAAAAGUAAUUGUUUAUGAUGAUCAUCUCACUAAAGGAGAAAAAAAAAAUGGGUCAAAAAAGGAAGAAAAUAAGGUCACGUCGAGGCCAGUCUUGUAGAAAAUUUGAGAAUUAGUACGAAAAAGAGGAUAAUAAAGUAGUUGUUAGAAUCAAAAGACAUAAACACGGGAGAGAGGCUGUUUGCUGCCUGAAAUCACGGCAGCAAAUAAGGAGACAAAAGAAGGGGCUGAAAUCAAGGCAAGAAAGAAAGAAAGACUAUACAUUAAUGUCGUUCUCUGUUUGUCUUCUAAAACCUACUCCCAUCAGCCUGUUUGUAUUAUAUUCUUAAAAUUGCUCUAUGGGAUUGCAGGCCAUGGCUCGUUUGAUUUUUUUUUUUUUCAUAAAACAAAAUUCUUUUCAUGCUCUAUGGGAUUGCAGGGAUGGAGGACUUGAAAUCACGGCAGCGAAUAAGAUGUUAAAUAGAGCGUUUGUUUGUUUUUUUUUUUUUUAGUAUUUUAGAAUAAAAAUUAAAUUUUUUAAAUUUUCAUAUUAUUUUGAUAUAUUUCUAAAAACAAUAUUUUAAAAAAUAAUCACUAACACAUUUUUUUUAAACUAUUAAGUAACCAGUCCCUUUAAUUUUCCAACAUUACAUUUGGGUACCAAUCUUCAUUUUUUUUUCUUUUUUAAGUUUUUCUUUUGGGUGGAGAAAAGAGAGAGAGGGUUGCCGGAUUUUAUUUUAAAGAGAAAAAGUUGUUAUUAAGAAAGAUUUUGGCUACCAAAUUCGUUGAUUUUUGUGUGAGCUAGUUCGUUGUUAUUAAGAAAGAUUUUGGCUACCAAAUUCGUUGAUUUUUGUGUGAGCUAGUUCAAUUUAAUGAAGUGAGUUAAGAUUACGUGUGUUUUUUUAACUUCUAAACACCUUAAAAAAAGAUCGGAACUCUAGAAGAUUUUUUAUUUUGGGUUUUGAGAUGGUUUUUUAUGUUUUUUAAGGCCAUGUAUUGGUUUAAUGAUGUUUUUAGAGUGUUUCAUAGGUAUUUUAGGUAAAACAAAUGGAUUAAAAACAAUCUUUUGGUUAAAAAGUCAAGCUUCGUAUACGGACGCAUAGAUGACAUGUUGUCUAUAAAGACACACACAUGUCAAUUUUUUUAAAAGCAUUAGGGGAAAACAUGUGUUGUCCACACCAUUAACUUAACAAAAAAAAUUAAAGGUUUGUGUGCAUGGGCUUGACCUUGAAAGUCCGCGAAACGAGCCUUUAAAGGGUGGGCCAUGCACUAGACCUGGCUCUACAAGCCUAGCAAGAAAAACAUCAUUUAUUUUUUAUUAUUAUUAUUAAUUGUUUUUUAUAUUUAUAUUUGAAAAUAAUUUUAAAAAUGAUGUUUUCAUUAAUACCCCUUUUUCUAUGAUUUUCUUUUGCCUUAUCUAGCCUUUCUUCAAUUAUUUUUAAUUUUGUUAGGUGUGUUUAGUUUUUUAAGAGGUUAAUAUGAUAUAUCUAUAAUUCUUUAUAUAUUUCAAAUAAAUUAAGUAUUUAUUCUUUUAUAAUAAAUUGUUUGUAAUUUCACCCUUCAAUUCAACGUGAUGUAGAAUUGUUUUUUUUAUUAUUAUUAUUAUUUUGGUCCUCAUUGAUUGCUUCUUCUAUAUAUAUAUUCCCAUUUUUUCUCCCAUAUGAUUCAAAUAAAACUAGCUUAUUUAGUUGGUCAGGACUAUAAUGUCUUCUUUUUUUAUUUUAAAAACAUUCACCCUUCAAUUCAACGUGAUGUAGAAUUGUUUUUUUUAUUAUUAUUAUUAUUUUGGUCCUCAUUGAUUGCUUCUUCUAUAUAUAUAUUCCCGUUUGGUAUUGUCGCCUCUCUUUUUUCUCCCAUAUGAUUCAAAUAAAACUAGCUUAUUUAGUUGGUCAGGACUAUAAUGUCUUCUUUUUUUAUUUUAAAAACAUUUCUAAUAUAACAGAAGGAAAGGAAUGGGAUAAAGAAGGAAGAAAAUACUAUUUGUUUUUUUACUGUGUCAGAGUGGUUUUUAUAAUUAUAUUUAAUUUAUAAAAAUAUUUAAUUAAUAUACUUUUUAAUAUUUCUUGUUAUUAUAUAUAUAUAAUAUUUUAAUAUGUUUUUAAAUAAAAAAACUAUUUAAAAAAAAAGUGUCACAAUACUAAAUUAUAGUAUAAAUUAAAAGAUAAAAGAGCUUUCUGGUUAUUACUAUUUACCGAGACUUAUUUUAUUGUGGAUGUGGAUAUUAAUAGUGAAUGUUUUUAAAAUUUUCAAUUUGGUAUUUGAAUUAUUAUUUUUUUGCAUAAUUGAAUCUCUUUAUGCUCAAAUCAAAACUCAAUUGCAUUUUUUUUUUAAGGAUAAGAGUUGAAUUGUAAGAUAGGUGACUAAAAUGGAAAACUGGUAAAAAUAUGUGGAGACACUGUAAUUGUUUGCAAAGUUCAUUUUAGUCUCUUAUCUUUUUGAGCUAUUAAGUAACAUGUCCCUAUAAUUUCCAUUACAUUUUAUCUAGAAUCUCGGAUUAUAAUCUAGAGACUAUAUUGAAAUUUUCAUAAAUUGAGAAAUCAAACUAGAAAUUUCAUCACCUACUGAUAUAACAAAAUUUCUAACUCAAAUUUAAUAUUUAAAUAAACCAUAACUCAAAAUCAUUAUUUUUACUUAAAAUCAUUCAAAAUCAACUAAAUAACUCAUUGUCCAUAACAAUCAACACAUAACAUUCAAAUUAAUUCAUCAAUCAAACCCUAAUAACAGAAAAUUAAAGCUAAAAAAACAUAUUAUACACAUCAAAGCAUGAAUAUUCUUUUAUUUUAAUUUAUUUUCUCUAACUCUCUUAUCCGUUCUUUAUCUUUUCCUCGUUUCUUUUUUUUUUCUUUCGCUCUCACGGUUCUCUCUCUAAAAAUUCAGAUCUCUUUUUUUUAUUAUUAUUAUUUAUAUUUUGAACUCUUUGUUCAAUUACUACAAUACCGUUCAUUCAUCUAUACCUACUUCUAAGCCUCCAAGGGUUUUGUUGUCUUUUUGUAUUCUCUUUUAUUUUCAAAUCAUCACAAUAAAAUUGUUUUCUUUUUAUUAAGCUGCUAAUUUAUGCAGCUUUAGCUCUUGUUCUCUUUUCAUGUUUAGCAACUCUGAUCUGUUCCUUUUCUUUACAUGAUAUAAGGGCAGGUUUUUACCUCUUGAAGUCUGCUGGAUAAACCUAUAAGCAGAAGAUCCUGAAGCGAUCCCAAAUCACAGCUUCAAUCCCCACCACAACCAAUUUCCUCUUUCCCGUAGUCUGUCGUCCUCAAUUGGGAAAUGAUCUCAAAAAAUCACUUGAUGCAACAAGUAGGGUAGAGAGAUAUAAGACUUCAACAAAGAAUCAAACUCAAAAAAAUUGAAGUAAUUGUCUAUGAGAAGCAUUUCUGUGUCACACACUCAAGUAAUAUGAUUGACCUAUUACAUUAUACAAAUUAAUAAUAAUAAUAAUAAUAAUAAUAAUAAAAGAACUAGGUUUUUGAUGGCAUCCAGAGUGCUGUUACUUUCAAACAAAGAGGCUUGUGCAUGCGGUGUUACGCAGCGUUCAUGUACGCUAAGAUCUCCUAUGAAUACAAUUGUAUAAUCAUACAAUUGUAUUAGUUUUAUUAAGCUGUUAAUUUAUGCAGCAUUAGCUCAUGUUCUCUCUUCUUGUCUUGCUAUUCUGAUUUUAUCUUUUUCUUUGCAUGAUAUAAGAGCAGGUUCUUACCUCUUGAAGUCUGCCUCAAUCCCCGUAGUCUUCGUCCUCAAUUGGGAAAUGAUCCAAAAUCAACAACUGGUCCGGAGAUAGUUUGAGUGAAAAGAAACAGCUGAGAGAUGAAAUGUGAAGGUUAUGGUGAGAAAUUAGAUGACAAACUUACUUUGUCCUACUAAUGCUUUUGCUUUCAUUGUUUCGAAAGUAAAAGAGACAUAAACAUAAUCAUUUCCUUCCUUUCACUUUCCAGUUUUUCUUUUCCUUUCUUUUAAAAAUCUUAUGCCUUGGGUGAGGAAAUUAGUGGAGCAUUAGAGUUUUGAAAAGACAACAAAAAGAAGCAAUGUCUCAUCUUUUGAUAAGGUGGUACAAGAUACACCAUGGUAUGGUGGUCUUGCAAGAAAUGUCUUAGCUUUUGAUAUGGUGGUCUUCCAUGAUCAGUUUUCGAAAGAUUCGAGUCUCCGUUCUAGUUCAGGUUGGAAGCUAGGCCGAAAGCUAAGAUUCUUUUAUUAGUGGUUGGUGUGGAUGAGUAUUGCAAGAAUGGACUCAAAAGGUCAGCUAAUCCGCUUAAUUAAAUAGUACUGUUACUGUAAACUACUAGGAAAUUCAAGGAAAGUUAACAAUAGCAUUGAUUCGAUCAAGUAGCUCCGGUGUCUAGAGAGGACCUUGCUGUCAAGGAAAUAACCAUAAAAACUAUGGAGCCCACUAUUUAUUAAUCCAUUUCUAUUUACUACUUAUUACUAUUUAUUUAUUUUUAUUAAUUUACUAUAUUUUUGUUUGUGUACCAAUAAAAUUUGAGAUUCCUUCAAUUUUUUAGGUGCAUGGUCUAGUAUAUUGGCUGUAUGUACAAAAUCAAUUCAAGUGUGUGUAUCCUUAACUAGCAGGCUUAGCUAGCAAUCGAUAAUUAAUUUUUAAUGAAUUCAAUUUUUAUUUAAAAUAAGGAAAAAGACAUUGGUGAAUAAAUAGUUUCAUUCCUAUUAUAAUUGUUAGACCUUACCAAAGGGCAAAUUUAGAAAAAGACUAUAACUUAUAGGUCUAACAAUUAAAGAAAAAAGUUUAUUUAGACCUUCCUAUUAUUGGUCAACUUGUGAUUAAGUAGAUCAAUUUAAAUUAAUUAUUUUUAUUAAAAUGAUAAUGUUUUGUUUUUUCUCUUGAUAUUAAUUUGGCUAAUUUUUAUCAAAUCAAUAUUUUAUGUUCAAUCUAGCAUACAGGUUUAACAAAUAUGCUUCCCACUUGCAGUCGUGGUUUGCUGCGGGUAUUUGAUAAUUGGGAGAGGCUUUAGUUUCGUACCUGUUGAUCUGCUUCAUAUACACUUGGACAUUUUAUUUUAUAUUGGUUGGAUCCAAACUUAAUCCAACACAAAAUUAACAUAUUUAUUAUUUAUUUAAGAUAAAUGAUAUGGCUUUAACAUAUUAGCGUACACUUAAUAUGAUUAAAUUUAAUUUUAAUCAAUUAACAUCUCACCGUAAUAAAUUUACCAUUUGCAACCAAAAACAGUCGGCACCUUAUUAAUAUAAUCAAUAUAGUAGAAAAUUAUAGUGAUUUAAAACAAUUCAUUAAAAUGUUUUUAUUUUGUGACCACGGUGGUUCUUGUGUUAUCUUUUAUGUAUUGUCAUUGUCGUACAUGGACGCACGAUAUGGGGGUCAUUUGGAGUCGCUACUUAGUUAUUUAGUUCAAGGUCACUAAAAAACUUAGGUAUACUAGUCCUGUUAGAGAUUCGAGAGUAAAAGAUUAGUUGUGGCUAAAAAAAGUAUUAACACUUCUAGCACACCCUACCCAGAUAAGUUAUUUUGUGAUUAGAUGUGGUUUAGAGAUUUUAAUAGUUUUCUAAUAUAUCUAUAGUUUAGGAUUGGGAUUUGCUUGUAUGAAUAAAUUUGGUGUUUAAUAAUUUAUUAUGGACUCUUGUACCCAGAUAAAUUCUUAGAAAAAAAAAGUUCUUUGUAAUUUGUGUAUUAUGGUAGAAAUUACUUUCAAUAAAAAUUCAUGAAUAUUUAAAAUAACUUGAGGAUUUUAUGAUCAACUCCAAUAUUUCAAAUAUCAGCCUCAUUUAUAGGUAUAACGUUUUAUAUCGAGAUUUUUAACCAUUAAUUCUCAUUAAUUAAAAAAUAGUGGUCUAUUAAAAUAUUGACCAAAUUCACAUGAUUUUAAUAAACUAGUUAUUAAAUUCUAAAAUGCAUAUUCAUAUAUAAUAUUUUAAUUUGUUUUUAAAUACAUAAUAUUUUUAAAAAGUAUGUGCCACAAUACCAAAUUAUAGUAUAAAUUAAAAGAUAAAGGAGUUUUCUCUUCAUCACUAUUCACUUAUAUUCAUUUCACUAUGGAUAUUAAUAGUGAAUUUUUUGAAAAUUUCUAAUUUUGUACUCAAUUAUUUUUUUCACAAUUAAGCUCUUUUAAAUCCAAAUUAAAGCCUAAUUGGAUAUUUUUUCAAGGAUGAGGGUUGAAUUGAAAGACAUAGGACUGAAGUGAAAAACUCGACUAAAAUAAGUUGUGGCUUUGCAAUUUGAUUGCAAAGUUCAUUUUAGUUCCUAUAAUUUUUCAUCAUUGUAUUUUGAUACCAAACUUUAUUUUUCUUUGUUUUUAGUUUUUUUUUGUAGGAGAGAGAUGAUCACCAUAUUUCAUUUUAGAGAGAGAAAGUUGUUGUUGGGGAUUUUGACCACCAAUUUUCUAGGUGGUUUGGGUUAAAAUGGGCUGAAAAAAGGUUAUGGGUUGCAACUGGGUUUUCUACCAAAUUAGUCAAAGUUUUUUCUAGUUUUUUUUUUUAAAAAAAAACAAUUCAACAAGAGAAAAGACUUGUAAAAAAAUAGAAUUACUGAAAGAAACUCAACAAAAAAUCAGACUCAAGCAAUUAAAAAUAAUUUUCUAUGAUAACCAUCUUUGUAUCACACAUUCAGGUAAAUAUGAUUGACCUAUAACAUAAAUAAAGCCCUGCAAACAAUUAAAUUAUGCUUCAAAACCAGCAAGACAAGGUAUAUAGUAUACCAACAAAAAUAGUUUACUAAGUGGCACUUGUUAGUUAAAGCAGUAAUUCCCAUUAAAAAUGCAUUUUGAUUACAUAAUUAAAAUAAUAUAUAGAAAGUGACAAUAAAAUAAUAAUAAAAAUAAUGUGUAAAAGAAACGAAUGAAAGGUUCAAAAGUAAUGAGCUGCUAAUUAUGUGCGAAAACCAGAGAAAUAAGGAUACAAAACGUGAGAGUGAGUCAUUGCAAGUAAAAGAGAGAAUGGGAAUAGGAAUUUUAAUACCUUAACUUGAGAAAAUAUGUGCGAAAAACAUUGGUACUGAUUGCUCAAUGAAAUGGAGAAGGCCUUUAGCUCUGUAUGGAAUCCAGCUUCAAAAGCAACAACGCAAGGUCUAAGCAUUUUGAUGACAUACUUAAGAUAAUAUGCCUAGUAUAUAACAAAGAGAUAGUGACAAAGAAAUGAAGAAAAAUAAUGCGUACAAGUACUCACCUAACAAAGAAAGAAACGAAUGAAAGGUUCAGGAUAAUCACUUAGACGUCUUCAUGGAUGAUAUCAGCUCGCUUCCAACAACAAAUAUAAUUAACCUAAGCUAUGAUCGGUCAAUGUUUUUUUUAGUUUUUUUUUUUUUUAAAAAAAAAGAUCAUCAACGGAAAAGACUUGCAAAGAAGUAGAAUUAAUGGAACGAACACAACAAAGAAUCAAACUCAAGCAAUUAAAAGUAAUUGUCUAUGAGUACCAUCUGUGUCACACACUCAAGUGAGGAGAGAAAUCAAGGAAAAAGAAAGGAAAGGGACAAGGAAGGCAGAAAGUAAGGUCACGUAGGGCUAGUCUUGUAGAAAGUGGGAGAGAGAGAGAGAGAGAGGUUAAAAAGGCUUAAAAAGAAAAGAAAAGGAAAGACAGAAAUAAAGGAAAGGACGUGGAAAUAGAAGGAGAGGUUGAGGGAGGCAGAAACGGAAGGAGACAUUGAAAGAUCGGAAGAGAGCAAAGAAAACAACAUGUUUGAGUGGGAUUUUUUUGUGCCUUUGAUAAAAAUACUCUGUUUUUUUUUCUCUUUGAUUGGGAUUUUUUUGUGUCUCUUUUAUUUGGAAUUUUUUGGACACUUUAAUAAUAUAAUAACAAAAAAUAAUUUGAUUAAAUUAUUGUUCAUUCAAACACAGAUUUACUGUGGACUCCAAUAGUAUUUUUCUCUAUAUUUUGAAUUAUAGUUUUUGAUAGCCAUGUUCGUUUGAUUUUUUUAUUUUUUUUCCAUACUCUUCCAAAUAAUGCAGGAAAUGAGGACCUGAAAUGACAGCAGCGAAUAAGGAGAGAGAUAACGUGUUUGUUCUUGUUUCUUAGAAAGUAUUUUAAAAAAUAUUAAAUUAUAUUAUAUUUUAUUUUUAUUUCUAAUUAAUUUAAAAAAAAAAACAAAUUUGAAGAUUAAUAUGAAAAAAGAGGAUAACAGAGUAGUUGUCCAAAUCAAAACACAUAAAUAUAGGACAAAAACAGGGAUAAUAGAGUGCUCUUUGUUUUCUUAACUGUAUUGGUUUAAUAACGUUUAUAGAGUGUUGUAUAAAUAUUUUAGAUAAAAAAAAAGGUUAAAAGCAAGUUUUUAAAUAAAUAAAAAGCUUUAUUUUUUUAUAUAAUUUAAAUAAAAUCAAUUUACUUAGUUGUUCAGAAUUAUAACUCAAGGGGAAAAACUUACAAAGAAGUAGAAUUACCGGAACAAACACAAGAAAGGAUCAAACUCAAGCAAUGAAAAGUAAUUGUUUACGAUGAUCAUCUCACUAAGUAAGGAGAGAAAAGAAGGAGAAAGAAAGGAAAAGGACAAAGAAGGCAGAAAGUAAGGUCACGUAGGGCCAGUCUUGUAGAAAGUUUGAGAAUUAGAGAGGCUGUUUGCUGCCAAGUGCCACGUGACACAAACGAAGCUACCCCUUACCUACUCCUGGAAAGGAAUGUCAGACUAUACUGCCUUUUUCAAUUCAUUAAUGUCGUUCCCAUCAUAUACAUGUUUUAUAUUCUUAAAAUUGCUCUGUGGGAUUGCAGGCCAUGCUCGUUUGAUUUUUUUUAUAACAAAAUUCUUUCCGUAUAAUUUUCCAACAUUGCACUUGGAUACCAAACUUCAUUUUACUCUUUUUCAAGGUUUUUUUUUGUGGAGAAAAGAGUGGGUCGUUGAAUUUUAUUUCAGAGAGAGAAAGUAAUUUGUUAAUAGACUUAUCAAAUUGGAGGAUUAAACUAAAAAUGUCAUAAGUUCAUGACUAUACUAAAAUUCUUUCCAUAAUUCAUCCUCAAUUUUAUCUAGAAUUUCAAAUUAUGCUCCAGAAACCACUCUGGAAUUUUUUCAAAUUUCUAAGGUCAAAUUAUAAUUUCAUCAAAUUGGAGGAUCAAAAUGAAAAUGUCAUAAAUUCAUAACUAUACUGGAAUUCUACCCAUAAUUCAUUUUUAAUUCUGUCCAGAAUCUUGGAUUAUACUUCAGGGACCAAUCUCUAAUUUUUUCACAGUUCAGGGAUUAAAUUAUAAUUUUUAUAAAUUGAGGGACUAAGCUGAAAUUUCAUAAUUUUCAACCUCAAACCCAGAAUUUACAUAGAUAACCUAUUGAUAUAUCAAGAUUUCUAACUCAAAUUCACCAUUUAAAUAAAUUAUCACUCAAAAUCAUUAUUUUUAUCAAAAAGCUUUUAAAAUCAACUAAAUAACUCGUUAGCAUACAAUGAACCAAUAAUUUUUCUAUAAUGUAAUUGUAAUUCCUAGCAUAAUGCAUAUUGGAGGGCAAGCACAACAACUCAGAGCAAAGAAACUCGAUGAAAUAGGCAAAAAAAAAAGAUUGAAGGACUGAAAUAAAAUAAAACCAAAAAAGAGGGAUGAAAAAAGUAACCGCACUCUGGUUGCCAUAAAAACAUAUUUCUUUUAGUAUAUUUUUUUUAAAAUAUUGUAAUAGGUCAAUCAUAUUACCCGAGUGUGUGACACAGAGAUGAUCAUCAUAGAAAAUUACUUUUAUUGCUUGAGUUUUAUCCUUAGAUGACAAACUUACCUUGUCCUUCUAAUGCUUUUGCUUUCAUUGUUUCGAAAGUAAAGAGACAAAACAUAAUCAUUUCCUUCCUUUUACUUUCCACUUCUUUGUAAUGGAUUGCAAACGGGAUGGUGCUUAGGGGGCCAGUUUUUCUUUUCCUUUCUUUUUAAAAUCUUAUUCCUUGGGUGAGGAAAUUAGUGGAGCAUUAGACUUUUUAAAAGACAACAAAAAGAAUUAAGUAAUGUCUCAUCUUUUGAUAUGGUGGUACAAGAUGCACCAUGGUAUGGUGGUCUUGCAAGAAUGUCUUAUCUUUUGAUAUGGUUGUCUUUCAUGAUCAGUUUGUUGAUGAGGAUAUCAAAAGAUUCGAGUCUCCGUUCUAGUUCAGGUUGGAAGCUAGGCAGAAAGCUAAGCUUCUUGUAAUUAUGAAUUGUUUAUGCAAAGGAAACCCAGAAGCUUGAACAAACAGAAAUGCCUUGUUGAUUUCUCUGCUACUACUCAUUAUUUCCAAUAUUAUUCCAUUAUCUUACCCGAAAGCAAUUAUACAAGAAAUUUAAUUAUCCUGCCCCAAAAGGAAAUUUAUUACAAGGACUUCCUUUAACCUCCUUGAAGGCAAUUUAUUUGAUGAAAAUUCCUUUAAUCCACCUCGAAGACAAUUUAUCUUAGGGAAUUCCAACAACCCAGACAAUUUAUUUCUUGGAAAUUCCUUUAACCCACCCUUAAGGCAUUUUAUCAAAGGGAAUUCCAAAAUCAAUUUAUUUCUUGGACUCGGUAUUCUCUGGUACUAGUUAUUUAUAUAUAAUUUAACAACACUUUUAUCUUACAUUUAAAAAGAAAUUCAAAAGAAAGGAUAACCCUUACCUAGAGCUCCUGUGGUUCUUGUUCCCGAGAGAAUUGGCUCCACUACGGGCAAAUCUACUACCAAAAACCCAAGUUUCAACCAAUCAAUAACAUCAACACCCAUUUUAAUUCAAUGCAAUAAGUUUUUCUUAACCAAUUUACUUGAUGCAAGUUCUUAUAAUCAAAGUGACAGUAUUCGAGGUGAAGACAAGCAGAAGGGCGUGAUAGAGUUUGACAAAGAUCAAGCUAGUUCCAAUAAAGGGAAACACUCUAUGGCCUAUGCAGGCCAAACUGCAAUGGCAUCCAAUAAGUGAGGACAAUCUUGUAUCUUCCAAGUGGCAGUAGAAUUUAAUUAUAACUACCAUUAUUCUUAUCUUUAGUUAGUAAUAUAACUCUAUUUAUUGUAUCUAUUAGGACAUUUUGUAAUGAAAACCUGUUAGUUAUUUGGUGUGAUUCCAAGGAGUGAUUCCUUUGAAUGAUAUCAGGCUCUACUUAUUUCAUAUUCCUUGCAAUUCUUGGAUUCUGCAAUAAAGUUAUCCGAAUUCUUUUCCUCUAUCAAUACUUUCUUGCUAUCUUUUAUAUAAUGUUCAUUAGUUUACAUAAAUUGUUCCUUUAAUAUCGUUUGGUAUUAAUUGAUAUCAGAGCAAGUUUUGAAUUUUGUUCUUCUAUGCCUGGAAUCGCAGUGGAAAUUCUUAUAAUCCCACCAAUAAAAGAUUACAGGACCCAAACCAAUUCUGAACUCCCCGUAGAAAACAUCUCCAAACCCAUUUUGAAUCACCCAACAACAAGCAUCUCCACAACCUAUUAUGAACCCCAUAACAAGCACCUAUUAUGAACCCCCAUAACAAGCAUCUCUACAACAUGAUUCUACUUGUUAAACCAGUUACAACCACAAAUGGAGUUGGUUACCCGCACCUUGGGAGCCAUUGUUGAACAUCUGGAUAACAGUGAAGAAAGGAGUAAUAUUGAUGAAAAUUGAAGGGGCAGAGUUGAUCAAGGAGGAGAUGUGGCUAUAGAUGAUGAAGAAGUAGGAGAACAUUAGCUCAAUUCAGUCUACAGUAACAGGGAGGUCAAAAUUGAAAGAUAUGACUAUUUUCAUUAAUUUUAUUAAAGCUUAUAAUAAAACGUUGUGUUUUUAAUUGGAAUUUUUUUUUUUAUAUGGCUUGGCUUUUUUAUUUUUUUUAAAUGCAAUCUCCUUCCCUUUAUCAUACAGAAAUCCAGUUUUGAGUUUAUGUAACUAUAUUAACAAAACGAUUAAAUGCUUUCGUGUCAGUUUAAUUAUUUAUAUAAAUAAUAAACCCAGUUAAUAUAUUUUUUAAUCAGUUUAUGAUAUAUUUGUCUCAUAGUUGAGUUAGUUAAUGUAUGUUGAUUGAUCCGAAGGUAGUGGGUUCAAGCUAUACUAGGAAUAAUAUUAUGUUUUUUCAAAUUAGUAGCAAAGGCGUGUGGGCUUGUCUCAGGCUCACAUGCUAGUGCCUGAGUUUUACUGUAAUAGACCCUAUCAUAUUAGGCCACGUAAGCCGGAGUGGUUGGAUAUUUUUUUAUUGGUCAUUUUAAAUUUUUUUAUUUUUUUAAUAUAAUUUUUUAAUUUUAUAUUUUAAUGUUGAGUUUUUUUAUUGAGUUUUAUUUGUCAAUAUUGAAUUUAUUAUAAAUUAAUUUUUGUAUUUUUUAUUAUAUAUAAAAUAAAAAAGUUUAAUUUAAAUUAAUAGAGUUUAUAAUCCGAGUAAAGUAUUUGGUGGGUUAGUUAUAAACCUGAACUUUUUUAUUUUUUAUUUUUUGGAAAAGUAAAAGACAAAUUAAAAAAAUAAAGUAAUCUAUCUUUUUGAUAAGGUGGUCCAAGAUGCACCAUGAUACGGAUGUAUUUUAUUUUAUUUUUGCCUUUUUCUUUUAAAAAUGUUAUCUAAGAUGGAAAUACUUGCAUCAUGAGUAUGUAUUGGCCUACAAAUCCAAGCUAUUUGUGAUCAGGAUAACCUAUCAUGUCAGAAUCUUUCUCUAGAUCCACAGAAAGUAGUGGAGCAUUAGAGUUUUUAAAAGACAAAACGGGGACAAGUGGGAGGCGAAGAAAAAGACAAUAGUAGGUGGUCUAAGAUACAUCUAUAUAUGACAAUAAUAAAACAAGCCUUUAAAACAACUCUGAAAACAAAUUUUUUUAUAAUUCAUAAUUUAUAAACACAUGCGAUAAAAUAACACUAUUAGAAAUUCGUUAAAUAGCAAUGAAUUUACCAACAAAAUAUUUCUGUCGGUAAUUUAAGGUCGAAAUUACCGACGAAACUUUUUUCGUCCAUAGUUCAGUCGGUAACUGCCGACGGACACUUUUCGUCGGUAGUUACCGACUGAAUUACGGAUAGAAAGUUCAAAAUUAAAAAAAAAUAGACGGGCCGCUGACGUGGAGGUUUUGGCUGGGUGAUUUUUUUCGACGAAUUUAAAAUGACAAUGUUGUACAGUCACGUGACCUGCUCACCGUUAAAAAUACCGAUGGAAUCACCGAGGGAUUACAGGACCCAUUUGAACUCCCCGUAGAAAACAUCUCCAAACCCAUUUUGAAUCACCCGCAACAAGCUUCUCUACAACAUGAUUCUACUUCCUUGUUAAACCAGUUACAACAACAAAUGGAGUUGGUUACCCGCACCUUGGGAGCCAUUGUUGAACAUCUAGAUAACAUUGAAGAAAGGAGUAAUAUUGAUGAAAAUUGAAGGGGCAGAAAUGAUCAAGGAGGGGAUGUGGCUAUAGAUGAUGAAGAAGUAGGAGAACAUUAGCUCAAUUCAGUCUACAGUGACAGGGAGGUCAAAAUUGAAAGAUAUUACUAUUUUCAUUAAUUUUAUUAUAGCUUAUAAUAAAACCUUGUGUUUUUAAUUGGAAUUUUUUUUAUAUGGCGUGGCUUCUUUCUUUUUUUUUAAUGCAAUCUCCUUCCCUUUAUCAUACAGAAAUCCAGUUUUGAGUUUAUGUAACUAUAUUAACAAAACGAUUAAAUGCUUUCGUGUCAGUUUAAUUAUUUAUAUAAAUAAUAAACCCAGUUAAUAUAAUUUUUAAUCAUUUUAUGAUAUAUUUGUCUCAUAGUUGAGUUGUUAAUGUGUGUUGAUUGAUCCGAAGGUAGUGGGUUCAAGCUGUACUAGGAUUAAUAUUAUAUUUUUUUCAAAUUUAUAGCAAAGGCGUGUGGGGCUGUGGGCUUGUCUCAGGCUCACAUGCUAGUGCGUGAGUUUUACUGUAAUAGACCCUAUCACAUUAGGCCACAUAUGGUUGGAUAUUUUUUUUAUUGGUCAUUUUAAAUUUUUUUACUUUUUUUAAUAUAAUUUUUUAAUUUUAUAUUUUAAUGUUAAGUUUUUUUAUUGAGUUUUAUUUGUCAAUAUUAAAUUUAUUGUAAAUUAAUUUUUGUAUUUUUUAUUAUAUAUAAAAUAAAAAUAAUAAUUUAAAUUAAUAGAGUUUAUAAUUCGAGUAAAGUAUUUGGUGGGUUAGCUAUAAACCUUAACUUUUUAUUUUUUAUUUUUUAGACGAGUAAGAGACAAAUUAAAUAAACAAAGUAAUCUCAUCUUUUGUUUUUUUUUUUUUUGUUUUGCCUUUUUCUUUUAAAAAUGUUAUCUCCUUGGUAAGGAAUCCUUGGUUCCCAACAGCAACUGUAGCAGAGUUGACGGUUGCGUAAAAACAAAUCUCUAAACUCCACCGAAAGUAGUGGAGCAUUAGAAUUUUUAAAAGACAAAACGGGGACAAGUAGGAGACGAAGAAAAAGACAAUAGUAGGUGGUCUCAGAUACACCGUAUAUAUGACAACAAGACAAUUGACCGUGCGAUGCGCGAGUUAUUUUUUUUACAUAAAAAAUAUUAAAAUAAAUAAAAGUUUAAAAAUUUUGAGUUUUUCUGUAAAGUUAUACAUAAGAAAUUUAAGUUUGGCUGCAACGCCUGACCUAAGAGUAAUAUUUAUAAUAUUAAUAAUAAAAUUAAACUUGCUUGACCCAAGUUUAAGUGAGCCUGACUGCAACACCGGACCCAAGAAUAUUGGAUGUGGGUCUAAAUAUAAGGUCGUGUCAUAAAAGUGUUAUAAUUAAAUAGAUUGAUUAAAAAAAACAAAGAAAAAAAAUCAACAGAAAGGAAAAAACUAAUGAAGAAAAAGAAAAAAAAUUGAAUUAAUUGGGUUAACCCUUUAAACCAGGUUAUCCCGUAAAACCUGGGAUUCACAUCAUAAAAGUUUGAUAACUAAAUAAAAAAAUAAAUGACGGGUUUACCCAGAAUUAACUGGGUUAACCCAUUAAACCAAGUUAACCCGUCAAGCCCAGGACACGUGUCAUGAAAGUAUGAAAGUCUGAUAAUUAAAUAGAAGAAAAUUAACUUUAACAAACUAAACUAAAUGAAAAAAAUAAUUUAUCAAAUCAGGCUAACCCAUCAAAUCCAGAUCGUAUCAUGAAAAUCUGAUAACUAAAUAAAAAAAAAUAACAUUAACAAACUAAAUCAAACAAAAAAAAUUCAUUAAAAAAAUUAAAAAGAAAAAAAGGAAAAAAAUAGUUAUAUAAUAUAAUAUAAUAUAAUAUAAUAUAAUACAAUGUAAUUAUAAUUAUAAUUAUAAUUAUAAUAAUAUAAUAUAUUAAUAAGUAAAUAUAUUAGUAAAAGGUGUGACAUGCCCGCGCGAUGCGCGGGCUUGGCAUGCUUGUGCAUUAUUGUGGAUUUGUGAAAAAAAUCAUAUAAAAAAAAUGUUACAUCCACAAUAUUUUAAAGGAAAAAACUACAAAGCUAUAUUCUCAACCAGCUUAAUAUUAAAAAAAAAAUCGACAAAAACAAUUAUAAAAAAAAAAAAAAAAAAGAAGAUGACAAUUUUGGAAGAAAAAAAAGCAAAAAGCAAAUAAUAAAUAAAAAAAAACAUGUGGGGAAAGUUAAAGCUAAAUUUUCAACCAGCUAAAAUCAUUUAAGAAAACACUGUAGCAAUCUAUAGUGUUUUGUGAGAAAUAUACAACUAUAAUUCUCAACCAGCUCAAUAUUAAAAAAAAAUCAAUAAAGAUAAUUUUGACAAAUAUAAAAAAAAAACGAAAGGAAAAAAAAACAUUCAUGGAAACACUAUAACAAUCUAUAGUGUUUCAUGAGAAAAUCUACAGUUGUAAUUUUUAACCAGCUCAAUAUCAAAAACAAUAAAAACGACAAAGACAUUUUAAAAAAAACAUAACAAAAAAAGCAUAUGGAAAAACACUGUAGCAAUCAACGAUGUUUUAAGGAAAAAAACUAAAUUGUUAGCCAUUCAGUAUGAAAAAAAUAAAUUUGACAAAAACAUAUUUGGAAAAAAAACAUCGACAAAAAAAAAUGUGGGGAAACACUGUAGCAAGGAAAAAUCAUAUGGGAAAACACUGUAGUAAUCUACAGUGUUUUAAAUAACUACAAAGCUAAAUUCUCAAUCAGCUUAAUAUAAAAAAAAUAAAAUCGACAAAGAUAAUUAUGAAAAAAAAAUUAUUUAAUAAAAAGACAUGUAGAGAAAUGACUAUUCACUAGACUUGUAGAUAUUAAUUAUAAAGUUUUUGAAAGUUUUCAAUCUAGUAUUUGAUUUUUUUGUUUGCAUAAUUGAAUCUCUUUGAACCCAAAUUAAAAUUUAAUUGCAUAUAUUAUUUUAAGAAAAUAGUUUGAAAAACAAAAAACUGAAGUAGAAACCCAGUAAAAAUAUGUGGUGAUACUAUAAUUUAUUUGUAAAGUUUAUUUUAAUUUCUUAUUUUUUUUAAAUUACUAGGUAAUAUGUCCCUAUAAUUUCUUGAAAUUGCAUUUUGAUACCAAAUAUCACUAGUUGUUUUUUUUAAGGAGAAAGAGUUAUUAUUAAGUAUUUUAACUAUCAAAAUAGUUGAUUUUUUAUGAUAAAUAAUUCCAUAAUCUGGCUUUCUUUUCAAAGUCCAGCUAAGUUUUUGGCUUAUUAUGUUCACAUAGAGAGGUGGGAUUUUAUAAGCCAUGCAAUAUAUUUUUUUUUUUGGUAACCAAACAUAACCACAAGCCCAAAAGAAAACAAUUUUAACAAUACCCACCAAACAGUUGAAGUGCUAUGUAGUAAUGAUUUUUUAGAAUUGUAUUUUUUUUUGGUAAGAUAUUGAAGUAUUUUUUAUUUUUAAUAUUAAUAUAUUAAAUUAUAAAAGAAUAUUUAAAAAAUAUCAAUUUAAUAAUUUUUAAAAUAAAUAAUUUUUAAUUUAAAAAAUAUCUAAAAAUAAAAGAUACCAUACUCCUGAACGAGCUAUAAAAUCAAUCUAAAAUUUUUAUAAACUCAAUUUACAAGCUGGGUACAGAAGUAUCAACACAACUACUUGAGAGACUGUUUAAAAUCAAUCCUUUUUAAAAAUAAAAAAACUCCUUAGUUGUUAAGGAAAGAUUGGUAGUGUGAACAAAUCACCAAAGUCAGCAGCAAGGAAGUUCCAGGAAGUGGGCAGCCUUUCUUCUGCUGCCAUUGUAAAAUCAUAUAUUUAAAAUACAGUAAUAAAAAUGUAAUACGCAGCUAAUUAAUGUAUUAAGCAGCUAAUUAAUGAUGUUGUUCUUUCUUCUUGUUUUUCUAUUUUGAUUUUAUUGUAUUUUUUCAAAAAAAUUAUGAUUGUGAAAGCUAGCCAAAGCAUUAGUUCCAAGCAAUCUAUGAGGUUAUUUAACAGUGUGGUUGUCAUUGCUUUUCAAUGUAUUUUUCAUUCGAAAAUACAUCAAAAUAAUAUUUUUUUUUCUUAAAAAUUAUUUUUAAUAAACAUAUCAAAAUAAUCUGAAAACACCAAACAAUUAUUAAUUUGAAGUAAUUUUUUUUUAAAAAUGCUUUUAAAACACAAAAAACAAACAGAAAAACUAGUGUAGGUGCGCUCAACAUUGUCCCGAGAUACUUUUAUAAUCUAAGUUUUUUAAUAUAUUUUUUAUUUAAUUAUGCAAUAUAUUCAUAGAAAACACCCAAAAUAAAAUUAUAGACAAAAAAUAUAUAUUUCAUCAAAAUUCUCUAGUCUAAUUCAUGUAUUUUUCUUCAAAAAAAAGUUUUUGAUGAUAUGAAAAGUAAUAACAACCAGGAAAAGUCUCCUAAGAAACUGUAAUGAUUUGAACUAAAAAAAUAUUUUUUUGUUGAAAACAUAGUUUUUUUAAUUCAUGAAUUUUUUUUAUUGAAAAGAAAUGUACUUUUUAUGAGUAAUUUUAUUUUGCUCAAAUGUCCCUAAUACAUAAUUAUUCAUAAAAUAUUGAAAAUAUCAUAAUAAAAAUGCCUAAUCUUCUUAAAAACAAUUAAAUAAUUGAACAAUCACUUAAAUAUUAUUUUAAUAAAUUGGAUUGAAAGAUUUUUUUUUAUUAAAAAUAAAGAAUAAAAAAAAUGAAAUGAUAUCUAAGAUAAAGGUUAUACAAGCCUUGAAAGAUAAUAUAUGUACGUGUAUAAUACAAAUUAAUAAAUUCUAAGUAGCAAUAUUUAAUGCAAGUUUAAGAAUAAGAGUUUGCUUUGUGUUUUGUUGUGAGAUUAACCAUAUCAAAUUAUAUAUUUAAUAAUAAAUAACUGUGUUGUGUUAUGAGUAAAAUCAAUAAAUUAUUUGGUGUUCUGCUAUCUUGUUGUUUGAAUUAAAAUUAUUAUUAAGAAUAUAAAUUAAAUAAAAUAUUGAACAAACUAAAUGAAUUGCUUAAUAAAUAAAUAAUUUUUUUUUUUAGAAAGCAUGGAAAUGCCAUGACAUUGGCUUUUUAGAUAAUACUACAAUAUUAACAGCCAAAGAAAUCAUCGAUAGCUGUGUAAAUCAUCGAAACUGCCACAAAAGCAGGAGAGGUAUUUCUUUUGGCAACACAUAAAUGAAAAAGAAUAAGAGUUCCUAGAUCUGAAAUAGGAGGAUAUAAUAGAUAUGCAAUAUGAGAGGAGGUUCCAAGAUUUAUUUAUCUUUGCCACCAUUUACAUUUCCACCGAGCAUCAUCUAGUAAAACAAUUCCGGGAUGGACUUAGACAUGAGCUGAAGCUAACCUUGAUAACUAUACAAUUCCGGGAUGGACUUAGAAUUGGUGUGGGCUAGAGGAUAAUGAAUAACACUAUGAAGCCAACUAAUAAGCAGAGUCAAGUAAAUUGUUCAUAAUGAAUAACACUAUUUAAGAGAAGAGACUUUAUGCAUCCUACAAAGAGGACCCCUCCAAAAAAAAAAAGAAAAAAAAAAGGAUAGUCGUUCGAGCAAUUUCAUGGAAGAAGGGGGAGCUUUAUUCACGGGGAAAAUUCAGGGGGAGCUAAAUGCUGGAGCUUUAUUCAUAGUUGGAUCAUUUGUGAUUUUAGUGUUUGCUACUCUCAGUACUUAUAUUAGAAGUGCUCUCAUCUUUGAAGGAAUGUAAAAAAUUGUUAAUAUGAAACUUAUUAUGUAUAGAAAAUUGUUGUUUUUUUUUUUUUUGGGUUUGAAUUAAUAUAAACAUACACAAUUAGUUGAAUUUCAAGAAUGAGCGAAUUUCAAGAAUGAGCUAACUUAAGAAUAAUCAUAAGUAUGUUUUUGUUAGAAAUAACUUUUUACUUAAAUAAAAAAUGUGUUGCAAAAUUGAUUUAUAAGUUUCUUUUUUCUUACUUUUAAAUCAUGGAUUGCAUCUUACACAAUAUUUUUGUUAAUUAAAAAAUAGUUAAUUUGAGUUGUUUUUAUUAAACAUCCUUAUAAUUAAUUCAUUUUCACAGUGAAUUAUUUAUUAAAAACAAAUUAAGAUUAACACUUAAAAAAAAAUAAAAAAAUAAUUCAAGAAUCAUAUUAAAAAAUUCUUAAUUUCUCACAGCACAACAAAAUGCUUUAAAAGAAAGCUAAUAAUCUGACAGGAGGUGGGGCUGCUCUUAGCCAAUGAAAACAGCUUCACAUGCAACACAUCAACAUGAAAAAAAAGAUUAUCAGCCUGUUUUUUCCUUAAAGAACACCCUCUUGGAUUCUCUAGCAUUAGCCACAAAGGUAUCUGCUUGGAAAAACCAUUCCACAAUCUAGAAAUUUAAAUGCCCAAAAAUACAUCGAUUGACAACAAGUCACAUGCCCAUACAUACAUUAACAUUGAUUUCAGAUCUUUUACAAAUUCUAAUCUUUGUAAGAAGCUGUUUUGCUGCCCAUCGGAUGUGACCACCUGACCAGAAGACAAUAUUAUAUUUUUUAAACCCUUCACUCUCAUAAACAACAAUUUAUAUGAUUAUAAAUAGGAUAAAAUAGGAUUACAUAUUUUUAGAAAUUACCUAUUACUGUUUUAGUUUUUUUUUCCUUAAUUAGAGAUAAGUUGAAUAAAGUAGUAACAAUUAUAUUUUUGAGAGAAAAAGUAACUACAACUCCUAAUAAUUAGUUUCGUGUAAGAAAUAAAAAUAAUUAUGUUAAUAAACUUUUAAAGAUAUUUUAAUUGAAUUAAGUAUUUCAACACAAAAUUUAUGCUCUUAUACAGUUAUAUAUUAAUUCUAACAAAAAAUAUGAUUUCUAUGUUUAAAUGUUGGUAUUAAUAACGGAUACAACAAUGAGGCAGUUAAGUUUGGUGGAUAAAAUAAAAUCAUUAAUAAAAUAAAAAUAAGCUAGUAUGUUUGUUACAUAACUAAAAAUAUUUAAUUUUUUUAUAUAUAUUUUUUUAAAUUAUUUUAAUAUGCUGAUAUCAAAAAUAUAUAUUAACAAGUUUUUAUUUCAAAAAUAAUAAUAAUAAUCCUUUGCUAGAAACUUAACAAAAGCCUUUUAUAGGUGCUCCCUCACGCGUCGUCUUAGUUGCUGACCAUUGAUUGCUCAUUGCUUGAUGCGUGGAGAUAGGAUCAGAUUUUUAAAGCUAAAUCUUGCAUCAAGGGUGGCUACUGGUAUUGAUGUCAUUUUCUUAGGUCAAUGAACAUUAUUUUUUUACAAUUUUAUAUUUUCAUGUAAUGUUUUGUGAUAUUUUAUCCUUGCAUUUUCUUGACAAUUUAAUGUGUUUUGUUGCAUUUUCUUUUAAAAUUAGAAAAAAACUCAAAAAAUGUCUUUUCAGUAGUUUUAUUCAUUUCGUUAUUUUUUUCAUUUAUUUUUUGUGUGUCAAGAAAUCUUGAAAAAAACAAUAUAAAAAUACAAAAAAUAAAUAAUAUAAAAAUAUGUAGUUGGGGUUGCAAUUGGACCAAUAUUUGAGUAUCACAAGUAAAAAUAAAAUUUGUAAAUUUUUAAGUCAUAAUUAAGAUUCGAAUUGAAGAUAAAUGGGCUAAAAUUGGCUAAAAUUGAAAGAAAUUGAAGUUCAAGGAUGAGUUUGGAACAAAUAGCCAAGUUAGAAAACCAAUUAAGAGCUUUAUUGAAGAAACAAAUUGAAAUUGGAAUGCAAUUUGACUCAAAACAAUGAAGAAUUGAAGGACCAAAGCCCUUAAAUGGAUAAAGCCGAUAAUUCAGAGGUCAUAUUCUGUCAGGGUUUUACUUGAAAGAAAUUUUUUAAAAAAGGUGAAAUGACCGAACUAAGGAAGAUUCAAAAACCAAUGAUUAAAAUGCAAAAAACGCUGAAAUGCAGGGACUUACAUGAAAAUGGGCCUAAUUUAAUUAGAAAAGAAACCCCAGGGCCUAAUUAGAAAACCUGUUACAAAUAAAGUGAAAACGAUGUGUUUUCUUGGGACUAGAGUUCAAAUUGCCAACAAACUCCUCUUGCCAUUCCCUAAUUGCACUGAGCCAGCUAAUCUGGAUGAAAGUUAUCGAUAGCUGUGAAAAUCAUUGAAACCGCCACAAAAGCAAACUCAAAUUAGUUAUGAAUUGGAUUCGAUGGAAGGAAGAUGGGAAGAGGGGAAAUUAAAGAGAGAUGAAGAUCUGCGCAUGGCUACCUGUUUUUGAGAGAAUUAUGGAAAGUUAUCCCAACUCAAAACGGCACCAAUUAUAAGUUCAGUAAAAAAAAUCUGGAACACAACAGAUGGAAAAAACUGCUACAAUUUAGGCAAGAAAUUCAGAAUGAGCCAAGAUUUCAAGUGAGAUGAAACUUUUUGUCUCACUUUUUUUUUUUUUUUUUUUUUAAUAGUAUCAUGGAUAACUAAACAGAGGAACGUUAAGAGGAUAGAAUAUUUAGAAUCACUAGCAAUAGCCAGCUGCUAGGUAUCUGCUCGAAAAACCCUUACUAUUAAUGCUAGGCAGUAAGGUUCUACUUAUAAUUUAGAAUUAGUUCUCAGCAACUUCACAGUUUAACUAAAACAUUUCUUAGCAAGUCUUUUGUAAUGAAUAAAGUAGCCAGGAUCAUUUCCAGCAUACUUCCACCUUUAACGAAGCAAUUAGGGUUUCUAGCAACUUUAACUUGCUAUUUUUACAAGUUUAACUCUUAUCAUGAACAUUGGCAUUUAAUGGAAAUUCAGUGCAGGAUAAUAAGGAAUUAAGCUUCAUGAAACAUGAAAUAAUGCAAGAGUUAAACAGGCUCUUGAUUUCCAACAUCACAAGCUAUAUGCCUAGAAAGAAGCUUGUGAAAGGGUUUGUAAUUAAGCAGCAAACAAUUAGAAAUCAGAGGAUACAUUGCAAUUGCCAGCAAUGUAUCUGCUCGAAAAAACCAUUCAACAAGGGGUUCUGCGAGGAAAACAUGAGAUUGUUCAUACAAUAGAUUGGAUAUCAGUUUCAAACUUUUGAACAAAUAAUACAACAUCAAGUCUCAGUCAUCACAUGAUCAUACGAAAACAUUUAUUCAAGAUCUUAAGCGGCAUUGCCAGGCCCAUUUCCAAAACCACAUAAGCAUAUGCAAUAGAAACAGAGCAUCAAACUGACAGAGAAAACAUACUGAUGCAGCAAAUACCCAAGUCGUAGAGCCAUUAAUUUGAGUAGAAAGGAGAAUGAAAGUCCACACAUUAAACAGUACGCACAUACAUGAGUAGACAUUAUGCUGUUUUUGAAGAUUCAGACACUUCAAAAGAAACUCAAAUGGGCCAACACACACUUAUUUUUGGGAAGUUCACACAGCAAACACGUACAUAGAUAAGUCGAAAUCUUCUUUUGGUAAAUAAAAUUGUUACAAUGUGAAGCCAAUUUCAAUCCCAUUGCCAAUGAAACAGUUGGAAUUAUUUCCACCAAUCUAAAACAUAUUCCAUGUAAUAGGUAACAUGGACAACCUUGCCUGAUGCAAACAUGAAGAACAAAGACAUGAAUAUCCGUGAAAUCGCCUAAGGUGGAGUUGAUCAUGUAAUAGGUAACCAACCUUGCCUGAUGCAAACAUGAAGAACACAGACCAUCCAUGCAUAUCGCAUAUGUUAAUUUAAUUCGAACUUUAAAAGUUGAAGGAAAAGGAGAGCAGAUAAAUAAUUGCAGCCAUAUCACCUGGUUUGGGCAAGAAAGAAUUAUUAGACUAGCAAACAUCAUCAUCACCAUACUCUUCUACUUCUUCUUUCCACCCAGUAUCUCGGGUCCGCUCUCUAUUAGUUCUUGAAUCUUCAGCUACUUGAGAUAUCUGUAAACCAAUUCAAGCAUGGCAUACACAUUCUAACUUGUAAAUCUUAUUAUUGAGCGAAAUAAGAAACAAACACACUAAAAGAGAUGCAAGAAAUCAAGUCAAAUCUACAGCACCUCUGAUUGAGCACUCAUUGAACCAUCUGGUGUAAUAGCAAAUUUUGUGCUCAACUUUGUGCAUUCAUACACCUUCAACUUCUCCAAACGUGGGAAUAAGAAAUCACAACAUCCGAAACUGAAGAGGACAAUACUUGAUAAUUGUUUUAGCAACAGCUCCUUUAGAUCGGAAAGCACCAUCUCCUUCUCAACAUUGACAGGUGAAGCAUGAUCAUCCUGCCCAAAUACUCCCAAUACUUGAGAGGAUUUUGUUACUCUAAGUAUUUGGAGCUUUGGGAGACUUAAAGCCAUGGCUACUGGGAAAAGGCUCUUCAACGUGUUGCAUUCUCUAAUCUCAAUAUGACUUAAAUUGGGAAAGCAUAAAGAUCGAAGAGGAUCUCCUAACAAUAUCUGGUCGUUUUCAUCAUCAUCCUUAGCAAUGAUUUGCUCUAAUUCCUCACAGGACAAUAUCUUUAGAGUUUCAGUUGAACUAGAUUGAUAAUCAUGCUGCAUGUGAAUACAUGUGUCAGUCUCUUACAAUUAACCACCUCUAAAGUAGUCAAUUUGCUCAGCACAAGACCCUUCCAUAUACACCUCAUGUCAGGUAGGGAUUCCAAGUAUAAUGUUUCCAAAUUUGUCAGCCCCUGCAUCAAAAGAAAACAAGGAUACCAAUUUGUUAGAUAUAAUUCCUAAUAAAUUUGGUGCACUUUGGAACUAUAUAAUUUAAGUAAAUAAAUAAACGACUUGUCCCCAAUACUUCAGCCAAAAACUUAACAACAAAAGGAUACAAGUAGACAUGGCAACAGGGCAUAGGAACAUGAAAUCAGAAGUUGCAGGACUGAAAGAGACAAACUCAAUAUAAGAUGGAGGUUUAUCUUCCUUUUCAAAUACUUCCAUUAAUUGGGGGAAGAGCCUCAAUUUCACUCAAACUUUGGAAAGCAUAAAGAUUGAAAAAUCUAGGUAGGAUUUCAUUACAAUAAUUAUUUGUUCUAGUGACAGCUACCACAAAUUAGGAAGCACCAUCUCCUUCUCAACUUUGAUAGGUGAAGCAUGAUCAUCUUGCACAAAUACUACUAAUAAUUGAGAAGCUUCACUUACUUUCAGUAUUUGGAGCUUUGGGAGACCUGAAGUCAUGGCUAUUGGGAAGAUACUCUUCAACUUGUUGCAUUUUCUGACAUCAAUUUCACACAAAUUGGGAAAGCAUAAAGAUCGGAGAAGAUCUUCUAACAAUAUCUGGUCGUUUUCAUCAUCAUCCUUAGCAAUGAUUUGCUCUAAUUCCUCACAGGACAAUAUCCGUAGAACUUUCAGUUGAACUAGACUGACAAUCAUGCUACAUGUGAAUACAUGUGUCAGUCUCUUACACUUAACCACAUCCAAAGUAGUCAAUUUGCUCAGCGCGAGACCCUUCCAUAUACACCUCAUGUCAGGCAGGGAUUCCAAGCAUAAUGUUUCCAAAUUUGUCAAACCCUGCAUCAAAAGAAAACAAGGAUACCAAUUUGUUGGAUAUAAUUCCUAAGAGAUUUUGUGCACUUUGGAACUGUAUAAUUUUGGAAAAUAGAUGAACGAAUUGUCCCCAAUACUUCAGCCAAACACUUAUCAACAAAAGGAUAUAAGUAGGCAUGGCAACAGGGCAUGGGAACAUGAAAUCAAAGUUGUAGGACUGACAGAGACAACUCAAUAUUAGCAGAUGGAGGUUUAUCUUCCUCUUCAAAUACUUCCAUUAAUUGGGGGAAAAGCCUCAAUUUCACUCAAACUUGGAAAGCAUAAUGAUUGAAAAUCUAGGUAUCAUUUCAUUACAAUAAUUAAUUUCUUACUUCUUAAGCCCUGCAUCAAGAGACAGGGAAAGAUACAUUUAGACAACUCCUUUUAAAUAUAGUGGAUGGCUAAUGGAUUUAUCUCCACUUAUCAUAGUGUAUUGAAGUUGACAAUUUAAAUAAAAAAGGAAAAAAUUAUUGGAGAAAUAUAAAGGACGUACUUGUAGCUGUGCCGACAAAUUACCCAAUUCUUCAUGGACAGAGAUGCAUAGAUUUUGCAAAGAAGGUAAUUGGGCAGCAAAAUUCUUCAAACCAAAAAAGCUGUAAUUUGAUCUGGAAAAAAGCUCCAAUUUUCUUAGUCGAGGGAACUUGAUGAUGCCAUCUCUGGUGAGUGCAUCUCCUUCUCCACUGUGAAAUAUUUGCUUUAAAUUGUCAGCAAAUUCAAUCUCCAUCUCUUCCAGGUUCAGAAGGCUUGGAGACACAGAGAUAGGGAAGACAUAUUCCAGUUUACAACACUUUUCUAUGAAGAUAAAUUUUAAUUCUGGGAAGCCAGGAGACUCUGGAAUUAUCUCCCAUUCACCAUCCUCUUCUUUGAUAAUAUGCUUCAAUUCACCACAUUUUUCUAUCUUAAGUGUCUGCAGUUGUGGUAGACUCUGAGCGAGGGACGAUGUGAAGAUAAAUGUCAGUUUGUCGAGAGAAUACAAAUUCAGAAGAGUAAGACUUUGGAGGCUGACAUGUCUGGUGGACCCUUCCAUAUACAUUUAAGCUCAGGUAGCUCUCGCACCUGUAACUUUGUUAAAGAUGACAGCAGCGGCAGCUCCUUCUCCUCACUGCUUCCUUCAUCAGCCUCACCCAAUUCAAAUACCUCUUCCAAUGAUUUGCAGUCCUUUAUUUCCACACUCUUUAGAUUUUUCAGAGCUUGCAGCAAUUUUGCUGGAAACGGAGUGCGGACAUCCCCACAAUCCCUCACUUCUACAAAUUCUAAUCUUUGUAAGAAGCUGUUUUGCUGCCCAUGGCCAUGGGCAACCAUCUGAUCAGAGAACAAUAUUAUGUUUUUUAAACCCUUCACUCUCAUAAAAACAAUUUAUAUGAUGUAUAAAUAGAAAAAAAAAAUAGGAUUAAAUAUAAAGUACAUACUUGUAGCAGUGCCAACCAAUUACUCACUUCUUUCCACCCGUUAUCUCUGGUCCACUCUCUAUUAAUGCUUAUAUCUUCAGCUACUUGAGAUAUCUGUAAGCAAUUCAAGCAUGGAAUACACAUUCUAACUUGUGAAUCUUAUUAUUGAGCGAAACAAGAAACAAACACACUAAAAAGAGAGAUAAGAAAUCAAGUCAAAUCAGCAGCACCUCUGAUUGAGUACUCAUUGAACCAUCUGGUGUAAUAGCAAAUUUUGUGCUCAAUUUUGCGCAUUCAUACACCUUCAACUUCUCCAAACAAGGGAAUAAGAAAUCACAGCAUCCGAAACUGAAGAAUAAAAUACUUGGUAAUUGUUCUAGUGUCAGCUCCUGCAGACAAGAGAGCACCAUCUCCUUCUCAACAGUUAUAGGUGCAGCUUGAUCAUCCUGCCCAAAUACUCCCAAAAAUUGAGACGCUUUUGUUAUUUUAAGUAUUUGGAGCUUUGGAAUACCUGAAGCCAUGGUUAUUGGGAAGAGACUCUUUAACUUGUUGCAUUCUUCAACCUCAAUUUCACACAAACUAGGGAAGCAUAGAGAUAAGAGAUGAUCUCCUGACAACAUCUGAUCCUUUUCAUCAUCAUCCUCAGCAAUGAUUUGCUCCAAUUCCUCACAACUUGAUGUCUUUAGAACUUUCAGGUGCACUAGAUUAGCAAUCAUGUUGUAUGUGAAUACAUAUGUCAGUCUCUUACACCCAUUCACCUCCAAAAUAGUCAAAUUGCUCAGCACACGACCCUUCCAUAUAUACCUCAUGUCAGGCAAGAAGUUCAAGUAUAAUGUUUCCAAACUCCGGAGUGAAAGUUCAUGCCCACCUCUUCUAUCAGUUACAAAACUUACAACCUGAAUUCCAUCUUUUAUUCCUCCGCAUUCUCUAAUAUAUAUAUGUCUCAAAUCUGAAAGCCCCUGCAUCAAAAGAAAACUACUUUGGAACUAUAUUAUAACUUUGGUACCCCAAUUUGUUGGGUAUAAUUCCUAAUAAUUUUUGUGCACUUUGGAACCAAUUAUCCCCAAUACCUCAGCUAACUACUUAUCAACAAAAAGAUAUAAAUAGACAGGGCAAUAAGGCAUGGGGAUAUGAAAUCAUAAGUUGCAGGACUAACACAUACAACUCAAAUUAAGCUCAAUAUUGGCAGUUGAAGUUUUAUCAUCCUUCCCAAAUACUUCCAAUUUUAGGGAAGAGCCUCAAUUUCACUCAAAUAAAGAUUGAAAAUACAUGUCUCAGUUCAUUAUUUUCUAACUUCGUAAGCCCUGCAUCAAGAGACCGCGAAUGAAGUAGUUAGAGAACUCCUUUUAAAUUCAGUGGAUGCAUUUAUCUCUACUUAAUUAGGUUUUAGAAAUUUGGAGGAAGAAGGAAGAAAUUUUAAAGUUGACAAUUUAAAUGAAAAGGUACAAAAUUAGCAGAGAAUAUAAACGAAUGGUUAGAUUUAAAUGACGUACUUGAAGUUGUUCCAACAAAUUACCCAAUUCCUCAUGGCCAUGAAUGGUUAGAUUUUGCAGAGAAGGCAACUGGGCAGCAAAAUCCCUAUGACCAAAAAAGCUGUAAUUUGAUUCAGACCAAAGAAUCAACUCUCUUAGCUUAGGGAACUUGAUGAUGCCAUCUCUGGUGAGUGCAUCUCCUUCACCGUAAAAUAUUUGCUUUAAAUUGUCAGCUUUAUCAAUCUUCAUCUCUUCCAGGUUCUGAAGACUUGGAGACACAGAGAUAGGAAAGACAUAUUCAAGUUCAGCACAGGCAAAUAUAUAAAGAGUUUUUAAUUCUAGGAAGGCAAGAGACUCUGGAAUUAUUUCCCUUUCAUCAUCCUCCUCUCUUAGAACAUACUUCAAUUCACGACAAUUUCUUAUCUCAAGUGUUUCUAGCCGUCGUAGACUUUGAGCGAGGGACAGUGUGAAGAUAAAUGUCAGUUUGUGAAGACGGUUCAAAUUCAGAUGAAUAAGACUUUGUUGGCUGACAUGUCUGGUGGGCCCCUUCCAUAUACAUUUGAGCUCAGGUAACAUUUCCAGCUCCAACCUUGUUAAAGAUGACAGCAGCGGCAACUCCUCCUCGACAUUGCUUUCAUCAUCCAAUUCAAAUACCUCUUCUAAUGAUUUGCAGCCAUUAAUUUUCACACUCCUUAAAUUUUUCAAAACUUGCAGCACUUUUGAUGGAAAAGGAGUACAGAUAUCCCCACAAUGCCACACUUCUACAAAUUCCAAUCUCUGGAAGAAGCCGUUUUGCUGCUCAUGAUCAGAAAACAAUACUAUAUUUUUUAAACCCUUCACUCUCCUAAAAACAAUUUGAGACACAGUAGGAAAUAACUGCUCCAAUAUCUCUGCAUUUAAGGAUGUGGCGCUUGUAUUAUCCAAAUGUAAUCUUGUCGAGGUUGGGUAUCCUACUGGAUCCCUUAUAAAUGGAUUAUAAUUCCCUAAAAUUAUAUCAUAUUUGAACACUCUGGGAAAAACAAAAUCUCUGGGAAUGCUUUCAACCUCUGGUAUCCUCAAUGAUAAUACAGCUAAAUUAGACAACGAAUUUAGUUCUGUUAGGCUUGCGUUCAUUCCUCCUGUGCUGUCACAUCCAUCAACAUCCCAUCCCCCAAAGCUCUUUUUCCCGAUCAGCAGCUCUUCUAACUUCCACAACCUUCCAAUCAAAUUCACAGGGAUCCUUCUUAGCCUUUGACAACCUGUCACAUCCAGCAACCUUAACUCCUUGAGUUCUCCUAUUUCAUCAGGUAAUUCUUCGAUGGAUAAGCACCACAUAAGACCAAGAAUCUUAAGUCCCUGCAGCUUUCUCAACCAAAUGAGGUCCUUGCAUUCGCACUCCAUCAACACCAUCGAUUGAAGUUUCGUUGAGAGUUCGAGUGAUUGCAAUGACAAACACCCUCCCUUCACAGACAAAACUUCAAUUUCUUUCAUCCCUUCAAAAAACCUCUCUUCCAUAAUCGAUCUGCUCUCCCUUCUUUACUCUUUUCUUUAAUUUUCAAACCUAACAUAUCUGCCAGUCGAUCCUGGAUGUCUGUGGCAUUUGGAUUCUGCGACACCGUAGCCAUCAAAACUUCAUCAAACAGCUGCAACUCUUUGGCUCUCCUGCCUACUUCUUUCACCAGGGUGGUUUUACCCACCCCUUCCAUGCCGUACAGUCCGAUCAUAUUGACGUUGUCAUCUUUGAGAGCUUUCAUAAUCUGUUCCAAAGCUUCUUUUGACGAUUCUGAGGGCCUGAAAUCCUUUGAUGGAAGAAAUUCUAUGGGCUCAGGAUGAGCUCUGUGGGACACUUUUGUAGGCUUUUUUUCUAAAUGUUCUCUGAAAGUCUCCGACUUCUUGGCCAGUACCUUGCUUAACUUGAAUUGUCGCAUGCAGUUUGGACACCAAGUGAAGCAUUUGCCAUUUUUUCCUAUUUCAUGUACAAUUUCUUCAGCAUCUACCAGCCACUUUUCGACAUCUUUGUAAAUUUCUUCAGCAUUCCUUUCAGCAGCUUCGACAUCGUCUUGCAGACGUUCUUUUUCCGAGACCAGCUUCUCCUGUUGUUGUUCGAAUUCCUUAACAAAAGUGUUGAAACAGAACAUGUAACGGAACUGCCUUCCUACUGGUUCCACCAUGAGUUCUGCUAUCUUAGAUAUAAUGGAUCCACCCACACUUUCGAUAGCCAUUUUCCACCAGUCUGAAAAUCAGAGAAAUGAGGAUACAGGACGUGAGAGUGAGUCACAACAAGCAGGCGCAGAGAGAAUGGGAAUAGGAAUUUCAUUACCUUAACUUGAGAAAAUAUGUGCGGAAAGUACUGAGAGCUCAAUGAAAUAGCGGGAGGAAGAAGAGGAGAAGGCCUUUAGCUCUGUAUGGAAUCCAGCUUCAAAAGCAACAAGGCAAGGUAUAAAAAUUCUAGCUGACACUUGUGAGUUAAAGCAGUAAUUCCCAUUAAAAAUGCAUUUUGAUGACAUAAUUAAGAUCAAAUAGAGACAGGAAAGGCACGGUUGAGAUAAGUAGAGGGAGAGGUUGUUGGAGGCAGAAAAGGAAAGACUACGAUAAUAUUUUUCUCUAUAUUUUGAGUUUUAGUUGUUAAUAGCCAUGCUCUUGCAAAUAAGGCAGGAAAUAGCGUGUUUGUUUUUUAUUUUUUAAAGUAUUUUUUUAAAAAAUAAAUUUUUGUAUUCUAAAUUAAUUUUUUUAUUUUUAUAUUGCUAUUAAAAAUAUUUUUUAACAAAUAAAAAAAUAUUAUUUUAAUAUAUUUUUAAAAUACAAAUAUAUUUAAAAAAACUACUACUUAUUCAAACACUUAAAAUAAAAAUCUUAAAAUCACAGCAUGAUAAAAGGAGAAGGAAAGGAAUGGGAUAAAGAAGGAAGAAAAUACUAUUUGUUUUUUUACUGUAUCAGAGUGGUUUUUAUAAUUAUAUUUUUUAAUAUUUCUUGUUAUUAUUAUAUAUAUAUAUAUAUAUAUAUAUAAUAUUUUAAUAUGUUUUUAAAUAAAAAAACUAUUUUAAAAAAAUAUGUGUCACAAUACUAAAUUAUACUAUAAAUUAAAAGAUAAAGAGCUUUCUGUUCAUUACUAUUUACCGAGACUUAUUUUAUUGUGGAUGUGGAUAUUAAUAGUGAAUAUUUUUAAAAUUUUCAAUUUGGUAUUUGAAUUAUUAUUUUUUUGCAUAAUUGAAUCUCUUCAUGCUCAAAUUAAAACUCAAUUGCAUUUUUUUUAAGGAUAAGAGUUGAAUUAUAAGAUAGGUGACUAAAAUGAAAAACUCAGUAAAAAUAUGUGGCGACACUGUAAUUGUUUGCAAAGUUCAUUUUAGUCCUGUAUCUUUUAAGAUGUCCCAAUAAUUUCUCAACAUUACAUUUUAUCUAGAAUCUCUGAUUAUGCUCUAGGGACUAUAUUGAAAUUUUCAUAAAUUGAGAAAUCAAACUAAAAUUUCAUCACCUUCAAUCUCAAACCUAGAAUUUUCACAUAUCACCUGCUGAUAUAACAAAAUUUCGAACUCAAAUUCACCAUUUAAACAACCCAUAACUCAAAAUCAUCAUUUUUACUUAAAAACUUUUAAAAUCAACUAAAUAACUCAUUGUCCAUAACAAUGAGCACAUAAUAUUCAAAUCAAUUCAUCAAUCAAACCCAAAACACAAUCUUCAAAACCCUAAUAUUCAACAAAACAGAAAAUUAAAGCUAAGAAAAACACAUUUAUCCACAUCAAAGUGUAAAUAUUCUUACAUUUUAAUUUAUUUUCUCUAACUCUCUUAUCCUUUCUUUAUCUUUUCCUAGUUUCUCUUUUUUUUCUUUCACUCUCACGGUUCUCUAUAAGAUUUCAGAUCUAUCUUUUUUAUUAUUAUUUAUAUUUUGAACUCUUUAUUCAAUUACUACAAUACCGUUCAUUCAUUUAUACCUACUUCUAAGCCUCCAUGGGUUUUGUUGUCUUUUUCUAUUCUUUUUUAUUUUCAAAUCAUUACAAUAAAAUUGUUUUCUUUUCAUUAAGCUGCUAAUUUAUGCAGCUUUAGCUCUUGUUCUCUUUUCAUGUUUAGCAACUCUGAUCUGUUUCUUUUCUUUACAUGAUAUAAGGGCAGGUUCUUACCUCUUGAAGUCUGCUGGAUAAACCUAUAAGCAGAAGAUCCUGAAGCGAUCCCAAAUCACAGCUUCAAUCCCCACCACAACCAAUCUCCUCUUUCCCGUAGUCUGUCGUCCUCAAUUGGGAAAUGAUCUCAAAAAAUCACUUGAUGCAACAAGUAGGGUAGAGAAAUAUAAGACUUCAACAAAGAAUCAAACUCAAAAAAGUUGAAGUAAUUGUCUAUGAGAAGCAUUUCUGUGUCACACACUCAAGUAAUAUGAUUGACCUAUUACAUUAUACAAAUUAAUAAUAAUAAUAAUAAUAAUAAUAAUAAUAAUAAUAAAAGAACUAGGUUUUUGAUGGCAUCCAGAGUGCUGUUACUUUCAAACAAAGAGGCUUGUGCAUGCGGUGUUACGCUGUUCAUGUACGCUAAGAUCUCCUAUGAAUACAAUAAUAUAAUCAUAAAAUUGUAUUAGUUUUAUUAAGCUGUUAAUUUAUGCAGCUUUAGCUCAUGUUCUCUCUUCUUGUCUUGCUAUUCUGAUUUUAUCUUUUUCUUCGCAUGAUAUAAGAGCAGGUUCUUACCUCUUGAAGUCUGCUUCAAUCCCCGUAGUCUUCCGUCCUCAAUUGGGAAAUGAUCCAAAAUCAACAACUGGUCCGGAGAUAGUUUGAGUGAAAAGAAACGGCUGAAAGAUGAUAUGUGAAGGUUAUGGUGAGAAAUUAGAUGACAAACUUACUUUGUCCUACUAAUGCUUUUGCUUUCAUUGUUUCCAUAGCAAUGUCUCAUCUUUUGAUAUGGUGGUACAAGAUACACCAUGGUAUGGUGGUCUUGCAGGAAAUGUCUUAGCUUUUGAUAUGGUGGUACAAGAUAUCCAUGAUCAGUUUUCGAAAGAUUCGAGUCUCCGUUCUAGUUCAGGUUGGAAGCUAGGCCGAAAGCUAAGAUUCUUUUAUUAGUGGUUGGUGUGGAUGAGUAUUGCAAGAAUGGACUCAAAGGAUCAGCUAAUCCGCAUAAUUAAACUACUAGGAAAUUCAAGGAAAGUUAACAAUAGCAUUGAUUCGAUCAAGGGGAUCCGGUGUCUAGAGAGGACCUUGCCGUUAAGGAAAUAACCAUAAAAACUAUGGAGCCCACUAUUUAUUAAUCCAUUUCUAUUUACUACUUAUUACUAUUUAUUUAUUUUUAUUAAUUACUAUAUUUUUGUUUGUGUACCAAUAAAAUUUGAGAUUCCUUUAAUUUUUUAGGUGCAUGGUCUAGUCUAAUUGGCUGCAUGUACAAAUCAAUUCAAGGGUGUGUAAUCCUUAACUAUCAGGCUAACCUUUACAGGCUUAGCUAGCAAUCGAUAAUUAAUUUUUAAUGAAUUCAAUUUUUAUUUAAAAUAAGGAAAAAGACAUUGGUGAAUAAAUAGUUUCCUUCCUAUUAUAAUUGUUAGACCUUACCAAAGGGCUAAUUUAGAAAAAGACUAACUUAUAGGUCUAACAAUUAAAGAAAAAAGUAUAUUUAGACCUUCCUAUUAUUGGUCAACUUGUGAUUAAGUAGAUCAAUUUAAAUUAAUUAUUCAAAACCCAAAAACAAUCUUCAAAACCCUAAUAUUCAACAAAACAGAAAAUUAAAGCUAAGAAAAACACAUUUAAUAAAUCGUCAUCUCUUUCAGGUUUACCACAGCCUCUUCUCUGGCUCGGAGACACAGAGACAGUGAAGACAUAUUCCAGUUUACCACAGCCUUCUAUGAUGAUAUUUUUUAAUUUUGGGAAGCGAGGAGACUCUGGAACUAUUUCCCUUUCACCAUCCUCCUCUCUGAUAAUAUGCUUCAUAUUCCAGUUUACCACAGCCUUCUAUGAUGAUAUUUUUUAAUUUUGGGAAGCGAGGAGACUCUGGAACUAUUUCCCUUUCACCAUCCUCUUCUCUGAUAAUAUGCUUCAAUUCACCGCAUACACUUAUCUCAAGGAAAUUCAGCUGUGGCAGACUUUGAAGAGUUAGAGACACGAAGACAUAUUCCAGUUUACCACAGUCAGAUAUACGGAGAGUUUUUAAUUUUGGGAAGCAAAGGGACUGUGGAAUUAUUUUCCUUUCACCAUCCUCUUCUCUGAUAAUAUGCUUCAAUUCCCCGCAAUCUCUUAUUUCAAGGUUUUCUAGCUUUGGCAGACUUCGCGCAAGGGACUCUGUGAAGAUAAAUUUCAGUUUGUCGAGAUACCGCAAUUCCAGAUGAGCAAGAUUUUGGAGGCUGACAUGUCCGGUGGGCCCCUUCCAUAUGCAUUUGACCUCAGGUAACCAUCGCAGCUGUAACUUCUUUAAAGAUGACAGCAGCGGCAGCUCCUUCUCCUCACUGCUUCCUUCAUCAGCCUCACCCAAUUCAAAUACCUCUUCCAAUGAUUUGCAUCUGUCAACAGUCACCUCCUUUAGAGUUUUCAAAUUUGUCAACCCCUGCAUCAAAAGAAAUUUUGUGCACUUUUGAACUAUAUAAUUUUGGUAAAUAGAUGAACGAAUUGUCCAUAUAAAACUUCAGCAAAAAAACUUAUCAACAAAAGGAUAGAAGUAGACAUGGCAACAAGGCAUGGGAAUAUGAAAUCAUAAGCUGCAGGACUGAAACAAACAACUCAAUAUUAGCAGAUGAAGGUUUCUCUUCCUAUUCAAAUACUUCCAUUAAUUGAGGGAAGAGCCUCAAUUUCACUCAAACUGGGAAAGCAUAAAUUAAGAUUGAAAAAUCUGGAUAUCAUUUCAUUACAAUAAUUAAUUUCUUAAUUCUUAAGCCCUACAUCAAGAGACAAGGAAUGAUACAGUUAGACAACUCCUUUUAAAUUUAGUGGAUGGCUAGAGGAUUUAUCUCUACUUAUCAAUUACUUCAGUUUCAGAAAUUUGGAAGAGAAAUCAACUUGUAUUGAAUUUGACAAUUUAAAUUAAAAAGGAAAAAAAUUAUUGGAGAAAUAUAGAGGACGUACUUGGAACUGUGCAGACAAAUUUCCCAAUUCUUUGUGGUCAUUGAUUUCUAGAUAUUGCAAAGAAGGCAAUUGGACAGCAAAAUUCUUUGGACCUAAAAAGCUGCAAUUUGAAAGAUACAAUGUUCUUAGCCGAGGGAACUUGAUGAUGAAAUCUGUGGGGAGUGCAUCUUCUUCUCCACUGUAAAAUAUUUGCUUUAAAUUGUCAGCACCACCAAUCGUCAUCUGUUCCAGGUUCGGAAGGUUCGGAGACACGGAGACAGUGAAGACAUAUUCCAGUUUACCACAGCCUUCUAUGAAGAUUUUUUUUAAUUGUGGGAAGCGAGGAGACUCUGGAAUUAUUUCCCUUUCACCAUCCUCUUCUCUGAUAAUAUGCUUCAAUUCACCGCAAAAUUGUAUCACAAGGGUUUCCAGCUUUAGCAGGCUUCGAGCGAGGGACGUUGUGAAGAUAAAUGUCAGUUUGUCCAGAACAUACAAUUCCAGAACAACAAGACUUUGGAGGCUGACAUGUCCGGUGGGCCCCUUCCAUAUGCAUUUGAGCUCGGGUAACCUUGACAGCUGUAACUCCGUUAAAGAUGACAGCAGCGGCAGCUCCUUCUCCUCAUUGCUUCCUUCAUCAGCCUCACCCAAUUCAAAUACCUCUUCCAAUGAUUCGCAGUCCUUAAUUUCCGCACUCUUUAGAUUUUUUAAACCUUGCCGCAAUCUUGCUGGAAACAGAGUGAAAACAUCCCCACAAUCCCACACUUCUACAAAUUCUAAUUUAUGUAAAAACAAUUGCUCAAAUAUCUUCGCAUUUAAGCAAGCUAACUGGAAAACCAAUCUUGUCGAGGUUGGGUAUCCAUAAUUGGGUAACGCAAACCGAUUCCCUAAUAUUAUAUCAAAUUUGCGCAAGCUAACUGGAAAAACAAAAUCUCUGGGAAUGCAUUCAACCUUCGGUAUCGUCAAUGAUAAUACGGCUAACUGAGACAACGAAUUUAGUUCUGUUAGGCUUGCAUUCAUUCCUCCUGUGCUGUCACAUCCAACAACAUCCCAUCCCCGAAAGCUGCAAUACCCGAUCAACAGCUCUUCUAACUUCUUCAACCUUCCAAUCAAAUUCACAGGGAUCCUUCUUAACCUUCGACAACCUGUCACAUCCAACAACCUUAACUCCUUGAGCUCUCCUAUUUCAUCAGGUAAUUCUUCAAUGGAUGAGCAACACUGAAAAACAAGUAUCUUAAGUCUCUGCAGCUUUCUCAACCAAAUGAGGUCCUUGCAUCCACAACUGAUCAACACCAACGAUUGAAGUUUCGUUGAGAGUUCGAGUGAUUGCAAUGACAAACACCCUCCCUCCAGAGACAAAACUUCAAUUUCUCUCAUCCCUUCAAAAAACUUAUCUGGAACAUUCAUACCAUCAUCCAGUUCUAAUAAUAGAACUUUGAGCUUUGGACAUACCAAUCCUUCAGGAAGUUCUGCUAGAUUAUUGCCCAUUAACGAAAUUGUUGUACAACCUCCAAAGCUUUUAUCAUGAAAUGGCCACUCCUUCAACUCAUUGACAGCCUUUACCAUGAAUCCAUAUUCUUCUGAUGAUGCUAUCUGAAUAGCAACAUCACGAACCAAGUCAUGCAUUUUCACGUGUUCAUCAAUUUUCAGUGUCCAACAGCAUGCAACAAUCUUUGAGCUUUUUUAUUUCCACAUAAACUCGUUUCUUUGCAUCUCCAAUGGACUCCACAUCUCGAUGUAACUCAUACCCAACUGCGUAUCUCGUCAAGUCCUCGAUUGGAAUGCUAUAGUCUUCUGGAAAUAAACAGCAUAGCAAGAAACAUAACUUGGUUUCCUUGCUCUUCAAAUAAUCAUAGCUCAACUUAAGACAUGCAUAUGCAGUUCUUUGUUCAUCAAUGUGUUCCAUGUCCGGAAAUUGAGAGUUUUUUAGCUGUCCAAAUGCUACUUCCAACUCAACUUCAGAUUUACCUCUUAGAGCCCUUCCCACUGUCACAAGUGCUAUAGGCAAGCCGUGACAUUCACCCGCAACCUCCCUUGCCACUGUGUUCAAGGUAGAGUCCCCAUCACGUAAACCUGCAUUGAUUCUGAAUAAAUCCCAUGCUUCAUCUUUAGGUAAGACUUUUAAAAACACUUUUUGCUGGCACUCCAUAGAAGAACAUAUGCCUUGAAGACGAGUUGUUAGAACAAUUUUACAACCCCUGUGACCAUCACCCAAUGGGAUACCUAUCUCUUUUAAGUCAAUAAGUCUCCAAACAUCAUCCAGGAUUUACAAGCAUCUUCUCCACUUUCUCCAGUCUCUGCCAUAAUAGAUCAGCUCUCCCUGCAUUAGUACUCUUUUCUUUAAUAUUCAGACCUAACUUAUCUGCUAUUUGCUUCUGAAUGUCUCUGACAUUUGGAUUCUGCGACACCGUAGCCAUCACAACUUCAUAAGAAGGCUGCGACUCUUUGGCUUUCCUGCCUACUUCUUUCACCAGGGUGGUUUUACCCACCCCUCCCAUGCCGCACAGUCCGAUCAUAUUGACGUUGUCAUCUUUGAGAGCUUUCAUGAUCUGUUUCAAAGCUUCUUUUGAGGAUUCUGAGGGUGUGAAUUCCUUUGAUGGGAGAAAUUCUAUGGGAUGGGGAUGAGCUUUGUGGGCCACUGUUUUAAACUUUUCGCUAAUUUCUCCAAGUUUUCUGAAAGUCUCCGACUUCUUGGCCAGUGCCUUGCUAAACUUGAAUUGUCGCAUGCAGUUUGGACACCAAUUGAAGCAUUUGCCAUUUUUUCCUAUUUCAAUUUCCAAAGGCUUCGCACCUUCAAUUUCGUUGUUUGCAUCUUCCAGCCACUUUUUGACAUCUUUGUAAAUUUCUUCAGCAUUCCUUUCAGCAGCUUUGACAUCAUCUUGCAGACGUUCUUUUGCCGAAUCCAGGUUCUGCUUUCGUUCAUUGAAUUCUUCAACAAAAUGGUUGAAACAGAACAUGUAACGGAACUGCCUUCCUACUGGUUCCACCAUGAGUUCUGCUAUCUUAGAUAUAAUGGCUCCAACCACACUUUCGAUAGCCAUUUUCCACCGACCCUGAAAAUCAGAGAAAUAAGGAUACAGAACGUGAGAGUGAGUCACUACAAGUAAAACAGGCGCAGAGAGAAUGGGAAUAGGAAUUUCAUUACCUUAAUUUGGGAAAAGCACUGGUACUGAUAACUCAAUGAAAUAGCGGGAGGAAGAAAAGGAGAAGGCCUUUAGCUCUGUAUGGAAUCCAGCUUCAAAAGCAAAAAGGCAAGGUAUAAGGAUUAUAACUGACACUUGUGAGUUAAAGCAGUAAUUCCUAUUAAAAAUGCAUUUUGAUGACAUAAUUAAGAUCAUUUAGAGACAGUGACAAACAAACAAAAAAAAGGUAUAAAAGUACUCACCUAGCAAAGAAAGAAGCGAAUGAAAGGUUCAGGAUAAUCACUUAGCUCGUUUCCAACAACAAAUAUAAUUAAUUAAUCUAAGCUAUGAUCGGUCAAUGUUUUUGGUAGUUUUAUUCUUGUUUUUUUUUUAAAAAAAACAAAUCAAUAAAUGAAAAGACUUGCAAAGAAAUAGAAUUACUGGAAUGAACACAAUAAAAAAUGAAACUCAAGCAAUUAAAAAUAAAUUAUCUAUGAUGAUCAUCUCUGUGUUCCGCUCACUGAGGUAAUAUGAUUGGCCUAUCACAAUAUUAAAAAAAAAAAAAAAAAAAGCUAAAAGAACUAGGUUUAUGGUGGCAUCCAGAGUGCGGUUACUUUCUUCAUCCUUCUUUUGUGGUUUUAUUUUAUUUCAGUCCUUCAAAUCUUUUUUUUUUGCUAUAUCAUCGAGUUGAUGUGCUUGCUCUAAAAUAUGCAUUAUGCUAGGGAUUAUAAUUAAAAAUUUCAUUCUUAAAAAAAAAAAAAAUUAUGAGAAAGUACCAAUAUUACAACGGGGAGUAAAUGAAAGAAGAAUUUUAAAUCUUUUUGUGACAUGGUGACCAGCAUAUCCAAGUAACCAAUAGAUUAUCGCCACUUGUUCAACCUGAUCUGCACAUUAAGAUAGGGGUAGUCAUAACUAUUACUCGUUUGUUGGACGGAAAAUAAAUUUUAAUUGUUAUUUAUUUUAUUUGAAAUAAUUUAUGAAAUUAGAUUUUUUUUUAAUUUCUUUCUAAUUCAACUUCUUAAUUUGUAAGAUUUAUUUCUUGUUAUUUUAAUAAACUUAAAAAAAUAAUAUUAAUAAACUAUUUUUCAGUUUAUUUUAUAUAACAUAACUAAAUAAUAAAAUUUUUUUUUUAAUUUAUUUUACUGUGAUACUAUCAAAUAUCACGGAGAGGUUGUUGGAGGCAGAAAAGGAAAGACUACUAUAGUAUUCUUCUCUAUAUUUUGAGUUUUAGUUGUUAAUAGCCAUGCUCUUGCAAAUAAGGCAGGAAAGGAGGACCUGAAAUCACGGCAGCGAAUAAGGAGAGAAAUAGCGUGUUUGUUUUUUAUUUUUUAUUUUUUUUUAUAAUUUUUUUUUGUAUUCUAAAUUAAUUUUUUAUAUUUUUAUAUUGAUAUUAAAAAUAAUUUUAAAAAAUAAAAAAUAUAUUAUUUUAAUAUAUUUUUAAAAUAAAAAAUAUUUUAAAAGACAACUACUUAUUCAAACACUUAAAAUAAAAACCUUAAAAUCACGGCAUGAUAAAAGGAGCAAGAAAGUAAUGGGACAAAGAAGGAAGAAAAUUAGUAUGAAAAAGGCUAUUUGUUUUUUUACUGUGUCAGAGUGGUUUUUAUAAUUAUAUUUAAUUUAUAAAAUUAUAAAAUUAAUAUAUUUCUAAAUAUUUCUUGUUAUAUAUAAUAUUCUAAUAUGUUUUUAAAUAAAAAAUUAAUUUAAAAAACAUGUGUCACAAUACUAAAUUAUAGUAUAAAUUAAAAGAUAAAAGAGUUUUUUGAUUAUUACUAUUUAACGAGACUUAUUUUAUUGUGGAUGUGGAUAUUAAUAGUGAAUUUUUUUAAAAUUUUCAAUUUGGUAUUUGAAUUUUUUUUUCAUAAUUGAAUCUCUUUAUGCCCAAAUUAAAACUCAAUUUCAUUUUGUUUUUUAAGGAUAAGAGUUGAAUUCAAAGAUAGAUGACUGAAAUGAAACAUUUGGUAAAAAUAUGCGGUGACACUGUAAUUGUUUGCAAAAUUCAUUCUGUAAUUGGUUGUAAAGUUCAUUUUAGUUCCUUAUCUUUUUAAGCUACUAAGUAACAUGUCCCUAUAAUUUCUCAACAUUACAUUUUAUUCAGAAUCUUGAUUAUGCUCUAGGGAUUAAACUGAAAAUUUUAUAAAUUAAGAGAUCAAACUGAAAUUUCAUCAUAUUCAAUCUCAAACCUAGAAUCUUCACAUAUCACUUACUGAUAUAAACAAGAUUUCUAACUCAAAUUCACCAUUUAAACAAACCAUAACUCAAAAUCAUCAUUUUUACUUAAAAUCUUUCAAAAUCAACUAAAUAACUCAUUAUCCAUAACAAUCAACACAUAAUAUUCAAAUCAAUUCAUCAAUCAAACCCAAAACACAAUCUUCAAAACCCUAAUAUUCAACAAAAUAGAAAAUUAAAGCUAAGAAAAACACAUUUAUACAAAUCAAAGCGUAAAUAUUCUUACAUUUUAAUUUAUUUUCUCUAACUCUCUUAUCAUUUCUUUAUCUUUUCCUCAUUUCUCUUUUUUUUCUUUCGCUGUCAUGGUUUCCUCUCUAAGAACUCAGAUCUCUUUUUUUUUUUCUGUUUAUAUUUAUGAACUCUUUGUUCAAUUACUAAAAUACCGUUCAUUCAUUUAUACCUACUUCUAAGCCUCCAAGAGUUUUGUUGUCUUUUUCUAUUCUCUUUUAUUUUCAAAUCAUCACAAUAAAAUUGUUUUCUUUUUAUUAAGCUGCUAAUUUAUGCAGCUUUAGCUCCUGUUCUCUUUUCAUGUUUAGCAACUCUGAUCUGUUCCUUUUCUUUACAUGAUAUAUGAGCAGGUUCUUACCUCUUGAAGUCUGCUAGAUAAACCUAUCAGCAGAAGAUCCUGAAGCGAUCCCAAAUCACAGCUUCAAUCCCCACCACAACCAAUCUCCUCUUUCCCGUAGUCUGUCGUCCUCAAUUGGGAAAUGAUCUCAAAAAAUCACUUGAUGCAACAAGUAGGGUAGGGAAAUAUAAGACUUCAACAAAGAAUCAAACUCAAAAAAAUAAAAGUAAUUGUCUGUGAGAAGCAUUUCUGUGUCACGCACUCAAGUAAUAUGAUUGACCUAUUACAUUACACAAAUUAAUAAUAAUAAUAAUAAUAAUAAUAAUAAUAAUAAUAAAAGAACUAGGUUUUUUAUGGCAUCUAGAGUGCUGUUACUUUCAAACAAAGAGGCUCGUGCAUGCGGUGUUACGCUGUUCAUGUAGGCUAGGAUCUCCUAUGAAUAUAAUUGUAAAAUCAUACAAUUGAAUUCUUUUUAUUAAGCUGCUAAUUUAUGCAGCUUUAGCUCAUGUUCUCUCUUCUUGUCUUGCAACUCUGAACUGUUCCUUUUGUUUGCAUGAUAUAAGAGCAGGUUCUUACCUCUUGAACUCUGCUUCAAUCCCCGUAGUCUUCCGUCCUCAAUUGGAAAAUGAUCCAAAAUCAACAACUGGUCCGGAGAUAGUUUGAGUGAAAAGAAACGGCUGAAAGAUGAAAUGUGAAGGUUAUGGUGAGGAAUUAGAUGACAAACUUACUUUGUCCUACUAAUGCUUUUGCUUUCAUUGUUUCAAAAAGUAAAAGAGACAUGAGCAUAAUCAUAAGAAUCCUGUUUUUUCUAUUUUUUCUCCUAUUUAUACAUCAAAAAAUGGCAGUUUUUCUUUUCCUUUCUUUUAAAAAUCUUAUGCCUAAUUGGGUGAGGAAAUUAGUGGAGCAUUAGACCUUUUAAAAGACAACAAAAAGAAGCAAUGUCUCAUCUUUUGAUAUGGUGGUACAAGAUACACCAUGGUAUGAUGGUCUUGCAAGAAAUGUCUUAGCUUUUGAUAUGGUGGUCUUCCAUGAUCAGUUCUCGAAAGAUUCGAGUCUCCGUUCUAGUUCAGGUUGGAAGCUAGGCCGAAAGCUAAGAUUCUUUUAUUAGUGGUUGGUGUGGAUGAGUAUUGCAAGAAUGGACUCAAAGGGUCAGCUAAUCCGCAUAAUUAAACAGUACUGUUACUGUAAACUACUAGGAAAUUCAAGGAAAGUUAACAAUAGUAUUGACUCGAUCAAGUAAGGGGCUCCCGUGUCUAGAGAGGACCUUGCCGUUAAGGAAAUAACCAUAAAAUCUAUGGAGCCCACUAUUUAUUAAUCCAUUUCUAUUUACUACUAUUACUAUUUAUUUAUUUUUAUUAAUUUACUAUAUUUUUGUUUGUGUACGAAUAAAAUUUGAGAUUCCUUCAAUUUUUUACAGGCUUAGCUAGCAAUCGAUAAUUAAUUUUUAAUGAAUUCAAUUUUUAUUUAAUAUAGUAGAAAAUUAUAGUGAUUUAAAAAAAUUCAUUAAAAUGCUUGUAAAUGUUUUUAUUUUGUGACCACGGUUCUUGUGUUAUCUUUUAUGUAUUGUCAUUGUCGUACAUGGACGCGUGAUAUGGGGGUCAUUUGGAGUCGCUACCUAGUUGUUUAGUUUAACAUCACUAAAAAACCUAGAUAUACUAGUCCUGUUAGAGAUUCGAGAGUAAAUAACUAGUUAUGGCUAAAGAAUGUAUUAACACUCCUAGCGCACCCUAUCCAGGUAAGUUCCUUUGUGAUUAGAUGUGGUUUAGAGAUUUUGAUGGUUUUCUGAUAUAUCUAUGGUUUAGGAUUGGGAUGUGCUUGUAUGGAUAAAUUUGGUGUUUAAUAAUUUAUUAUGGACUCUUGUACCCAGAUAAAUUCUUAUAAAAAAAAUUUCUUUGUAAUGUGUGUAUUAUGGUAAAAAUUUCCCUUAAUAAAAAUUCAUGAACAUUUAGAAUAACUUUGAGGAUUUUCUUAUCAACUCCAAUAUUUCAAAUAUCAGCUUCACUUAUAGGUAUAGUGUUUUAUAUCAAGAUUUUUAACCAUUAAUUCUCAUUAAUUAAAAAAUAGUGGUCUAUUAAAAUAUUGACCAAAGUCACAUGAAUUUAAUAAACCAGUUAUUAAAUUCUAAAAUGCAUAUUCAUAUAUAAUAUUUUAAUUUGUUUUUAAAUAAAGAAUAUUUUAAAAAAGUAUGGGCCACAAUACCAAAGUAUAGUAUAAAUUAAAAGAGAAAGGAGUUUUCUCUUCAUCACUAUUCACUUAUAUUCAUUUCACUAUGGAUAUUAAUAGUGAAUAUUUUGAAAAUUUGCAAUUUGAUUGCAAAGUUCAUUUUAGUCCCUAUAAUUUUUCAUCAUUGUAUUUUCAUACCAAACCUUAUUUUUCUCUGUUUUUAUUUUUUUUGUAAGAGAGAGAGGAUCACCAUAUUUCAUUGUAGACAGAGAAAGUUGUUGUUGGGGAUUUUGGCCACCAAAUUUCUAGGUGGUUUUGGUUAAAAUGGCUGAAAACAGGUUGUGGGUUUCAACUGAGUUUUUUAUUAAAUUAGUCAAUGUUUUUUUUAGUUUUUUUUUUAAAAACAAUUCAACAAGAGAGAAAAGACUUGUAAAAAUAUAGAAUUACAGAAAGAAACUCAACAAAAAAUCAGACUCAAGCAAUUAAAAAUAAUUUUCUAUGAUAACCAUCUCUGUAUCACACAUUCAGGUAAAUAUGAUUGACCUAUAACAUAAAUAAAGCCCUGCAAACAAUUAAAUUAUGCUUCAAAAGCAACAAGACAAGGUAUAAAGUAUACCAACAAAAAUAGUUUACUAACUGACACUUGUGAGUUAAAGCAGUAAUUCCCAUUAAAAAUGCAUUUUGAUGACAUAAUUAAGAUAAUAUAUAGACAGUGACAAAAUAAAAUAAUAAAAAAAAAUAAUGUGUAAAAGAAACGAAUGAAAGGUUCAGGGUAAUCACUUAGACUCCUCCACGGAUGAUACCAGCUCGCUUCCACCAACAAAUAUAAUUAACCUAAGCUAUGAUAGGUCAAAGUUCUUUUUAGUUUUUUUUUAUAUAAAAAAAACAGAUCAACAAGAGAAAAGACUUGUAAAAAAGUAGAAUUGCGAAACUCAACAAAGAAUCAAACUGAAGCAAUUAAAAAUAAUAGUAUAUGAUGACCAUCUCUUAUCACACAUUGUAAUAUGAUUGACCUAUAACAAUAUUAAAAUAAUAAUAAUAAUAAAAAGCUAAUAGAUGGUCGCCACGUGUUCAACUUUAUCUCCCCUUAGGAAAGGAUAGAAAGUGGGAGAGAGAGAGGUUAAAAGGCUUUAAAAAAAAAAAAAAAGGAAAGACAGAAAUAAAAGAAAGGUUGAGAUACGAGAGGGACGUGGAAAUAGAAGGAGAGGUUGAGACAUUGAAAGAUCGGAGUAAAGAAGACAACAUGAAUAUGUGAUGCUCGUUUAUCUAUUAAAUUAAAUUUUAUUUUAAUUUUAUUUCAAAUUAAUUUUUAAAAAAACUAAUUUGAAAAUUAGUAUGAAAAAAAAGGAUAAUAGAGUAGGUGUCCAAAUCAAAACACAUAAAUAUAGGACAAAAACAGGGAGAGAGGCUCUUUGUUUUUUUAACUGUAUUGGUUUAUAGUGUUUUAUAAAUAUUUUAGAUAAAAAAUAGGUUAAAAGGAAGUUUUUAAAUAAAAAAUCAAGCUUUAUUAUUUUAUAUAAUUCAAAUAAAAUCAAUUUAUUUAAUUGUUUAGAAUUAUAACUCAAGUUAUUUAACGACUUUUUAAAUUAUUUCUGUUACUUUCCCUCAAUUUUCUAGACAAGCAAAAGGAGCUAAACUUAUUCCCGACCAAAACGUCAAGAAUUUCAGUAGAACAAAAGAAGAGAUUAUUACUUGACCAAAAACAACCAGUCAUCACCCAAAGAAACCGAGUCAAUGAGAGAAAAAGACUGAUAGCUAGAAAACAAUCAACAGAUCCAAGAAUUUUCUGUAUGGUUUCCAAGAAAAUGAAACGAAACAAAGAUAGACAAAGAUAGUUCGAGGAAGUGGGCAGCCUUUUUUCUGCUGUUAACGCAGACUAAGAACUCCUACCAUCGUAAAAUCAUAUAAUUAAAACACAACAAUAAAAAAGUAAUGAGCAGCUAACUAUGUGCGAAAACCAGAGAAAUAAGGAUACAAAACGUGAGAGUGAGUCAUUGUUGUAAGUAAAAGAGGCGCAGAGAGAAUGGGAAUUGGAAUUUCAUACCUUAACUUGAGAAAAUAUGUGCGAAAAGCAGUGGUACUGAUUGCUCAAUGAAAAGGAGAAGGCCUUUAGCUCUGUAUGGAAUCCAGCUUCAACAGCAACAAGGCAAGGUCUAAGCAUUUUGAUGACAUAAUUAAGAUAAUAUGCGUAGUAAUAUAGAGACAGUGACAAAGAAAUGAAGAAAAAAAAUGCGUACGAGUACUCACCUAGCAAAGAAAGAAACGGAUGAAAGGUUCAGGAUAAUCACUUAGACGUUUCCAUGGAUGAUACCAGCUUGCUUCCAACAACAAAUAUAAUUAACCUAAGCUAUGAUCGGUCAAUGUUUUUUUUAGUUUUCUUCUUUUUCAGAAAAAAAAAAAAAAAAAAACAGAUCAUCAAGGGAAAAGACUUGCAAAGAAGUAGAAUUAAUGGAACGAACACAACAAGGAAUCAAACUCAAGCAAUUAAAAGUAAUUGUCUAUGAGUACCAUCUGUGUCACACGCUCAAGUGAGGAGAGAAAACAAGGAAAAAGAAAGGAAAGGGACAAGGAAGGCAGAAAGUAAGGUCACGUAGGGCUAGUCUUGUAGAAAGUGGGAGAGAGAGAGAGAGAGGUUAAAAAGGCUUAAAAAGAAAAGAAAAGGAAAGACAGAAAUAAAGGAAAGGACGUGGAAAUAGAAGGAGAGGUUGAGGGAGGCAGAAACGGAAGGAGACAUUGAAAGAUCGGAAGAGAGCAAAGAAAACAACAUGUUUGAGUGGGAUUUUUUUGUGCCUUUGAUAAAAAUACUCUGUUUUUUUUUCUCUUUGAUUGGGAUUUUUUUGUGUCUCUUUUAUUUGGAAUUUCUUUGGACACUUUAAUAAUAUAAUAACAAAAAAUAAUUUGAUUAAAUUAUUGUUCAUUCAAACACAGAUUUACUGUGGACUCCAAUAGUAUUUUUCACUAUAUUUUGAAUUUUAGUUUUUGAUAGCCAUGCUCGUUUGAUUUUUUUUUUUUUUUUUCAUACUCUUCCAAAUAAUGCAAGAAAUGAGGACCUGAAAUAACAGCAGCGAAUAAGGAGAGAGAUAACGUGUUUGUUCUUGUUUCUUAGAAAGUAUUUUAAAAAAUAUUAAAUUAAAUUUUAUUUUAUUUUUAUUUCAAAUUAAUUUUUAAAAAAACUAAUUUGAAAAUUAAUAUGAAAAAAGAGGAUAAUAGAGUAGUUGUCCCAAUCAAAACACAUAAAUAUAGGACAAAAACAGGGAUAAUAGAGUGCUCUUUGUUUUCUUAACUGUAUUGGUUUAAUAAGGUUUAUAGAGUGUUGUAUAAAUAUUUUAGAUAAAAAAAAGGUUAAAAGCAAGUUUUUAAAUAAAAAAAAAAGCUUUAUUUUUUUAUAUAAUUUAAAUAAAAUCAAUUUACUUAGUUGUUAAGAAUUAUAACUCAAGGGGAAAAACUUACAAAGAAGUAGAAUUACCGGAACAAACACAAGAAAGGAUCAAACUCAAGCAAUGAAAAGUAAUUGUUUACGAUGAUCAUCUCACUAAGUAAGGAGAGAAAAGAAGGAGAAAGAAAGGAAAAGGACAAAGAAGGCAGAAAGUAAGGUCACGUAGGGCCAGUCUUGUAGAAAGUUUGAGAAUUAGAGAGGCUGUUUGCUGCCAAGUGCCACGUGACACAAACGAAGCUACCCCUUACCUACUCCUGGAAAGGAAUGUCAGACUAUACUGCCUUUUUCAAUUCAUUAAUGUCGUUCCCAUCAUAUACAUGUUUUAUAUUCUUAAAAUUGCUCUGUGGGAUUGCAGGCCAUGCUCGUUUGAUUUUUUUUAUAACAAAAUUCUUUCCGUAUAAUUUUCCAACAUUGCACUUGGAUACCAAACUUCAAUUUACUCUUUUUCAAGGUUUUUUUUUUUUUUUUGGAGAAAAGAGUGGGUCCUUGAAUUUUAUUUCAGAGAGAGAAAGUUGUUGUUAGCUAUCAAAAUCAUUGAUUUUUGUGUCAAAUGAUAAUCAUCUAUUUUUUUUCUGUGUGUUCAUACUUAAAACCUUCUUAAAGAGUUCUUAUCAAUGACUUUAAAACCACUCUUUCUAGAUCAAAAGGUUAGAAAUAACUCUCUACCCUCUAAAUCUAACAAAACCACCAAGUACCUUUAAAACCAAAACCACAAUUGCAAAACUAGUUUAGUAUAAGAACUUCUAACUAUUAGCUUUUGUCCAUAACUCUCUCAUUUUGAUCUAAUGGUUAAACUUUCAUUAAUUUUUAAGGGAAUCUAUAAAAAAACCUAGAAAAACUCUAUAAAUACCCUUGAAAAUCAGAGUCAGAGAGAAGGAGAGAAGGGGAGAAAAGGAGAGAAAAAACAUGGGGAAAAAAUUUGUUAAUAGACUCUAUUACGAAGGUUCAAGAGCUUAAUAUAAAAGGUCUAAACAACUUUUAAAAAAAAAAAGUUAAAAGAAAAGAAGGAAGGAAAUGAGAAGAAAAAAAAAUAACAACGUAAUUUUGAACUUAGAAGGCCUAAUUUCAGUGCAAGUUGAGAGCAUUAGAGACUAGACCGUGCUUAUACCAAAAACGACUCUCAUCGUUGAAGGAAUGCAAACAGUUGUUAACGAGACACUCAUGCUGUUCCAACAUUCAAAGAUUGUUGAAUCUAGUACUGGUGCUCAUUCUGGAUCUAGUACCAAAAGGAAUAUAGAAAGAGAUUACCAUUGGGGCAAACGUGGGCAAUGCAUUUAUAAUAGCCAGAGAGGUGUUUUUAUAUACAAUCAACAAUUAAGGUAUCUUCUUGUGCUGAGCUUCCAUCAUGGUUGCAAGACAUUACCAUUGGGGCAAGGUCAUUUUGCUCGUAAAAGCAAGUUUUAAUUAAAAACUAAAUAAAUAAAGUAUUGAAAAUUGUUAUAAUCAAUUUGAAAAAACCUAAUAACAAUAGAUUAUUAUUCUUGUUAAACCCCUAACUUCAUAAUAAAAUUUGAUUAUCCUAAUACAAGAUUUAAUAUAAUUUCAUAGUUGUUAAACACUAACUGGACAUACAAAAAAGUACAAAUUACAACAAAAAAAUAAUUUGUUAAUAGACUUAUUAAAUUGGAGGACUAAACUAAAAAUGUCAUAAGUUCAUGACUAUACUAAAAUUCUUUCCAUAAUUCAUCCUCAAUUUUAUCUAGAAUUUCAAAUUAUGCUCCAGAAAUCACUCUGGAAUUUUUUUAAAUUUCUAAGGUCAAAUUAUAAUUUCAUCAAAUUGGAGGAUCAAAAUGAAAAUGUCAUAAAUUCAUAACUAUACUGGAAUUCUACCCAUAAUUCAUUUUUAAUUAUGUCCAGAAUCUUGGAUUAUACUUCAGGGACCAAUCUCUAAUUUUUUCACAGUUCAGGGAUUAAAUUAUAAUUUUUAUAAAUUGAGGGACUAAGCUGAAAUUUCAUAAUCUUCAACCUCAAACCCAGAAUUUACAUAGAUAACCUAUUGAUAUAUCAAGAUUUCUAACUCAAAUUCACCAUUUAAAUAAAUUAUCACUCAAAAUUAUUAUUUUUAUCAAAAAGCUUUUAAAAUCAACUAAAUAACUCGUUAGCAUAUCAAUGAACCAAUAAUUUUUCUAUAAUGUAAUUGUAAUUCCUAGCAUAAUGCAUAUUGGAGGGCAAGCACAACAACUCAGGAGCAAAAAACUCGAUGAAAUAGCAAAAUAAAAAGACUUGAAGGACUGAAAUAAAAUAAAACAAAAAAAGAGGGAUGAAAAAACUAACCGCAUUCUGGUUGCCAUAAAAAACAUAGUUCUUUUAGUAUAUAUUUUUUUAAAAUAUUGUAAUAGGUCAAUCAUAUUACCCGAGUAUGUGACACAGAGAUGAUCAUCAUAGAAAAUUACUUUUAGGUGCUGGAGUUUUAUCCUUAGAUGACAAACUUACCUUUUUGUCCUUCUAAUGCUUUUGCUUUCAUUGUUUCGAAAGUAAAAGAGACAAAAACAUAAUCAUUUCCUUCCUUUUACUUUCCACUUCUUUGUAAUGGAUUGCAAACGGGAUGGUGCUUAGGGGGGGCCAGUUUUUCUUUUCCUUUCUUUUUAAAAUCUUAUUCCUUGGGUGAGGAAAUUAGUGGAGCAUUAGACUUUUUAAAAGACAACAAAAAGAAUUAAGUAAUGUCUCAUCUUUUGAUAUGGUGGUACAAGAUGCACCAUGGUAUGGUGGUCUUGCAAGAAUGUCUUAUCUUUUGAUAUGGUUGUCUUUCAUGAUCAGUUUGUUGAUGAGGAUAUCAAAAGAUUCGAGUCUCCGCUCUAGUUCAGGUUGGAAGCUAGGCAGAAAGCUAAGCUUCUUGUAAUUAUGAAUUGUUUAUGCAAAGGAAACCCAGAAGCUUGAACAAACAGAAAUGCCUUGUUGAUUUCUCUGCUACUACUCAUUAUUUCCAAUAUUAUUCCAUUAUCUUACCCGAAAGCAAUUAUACAAGAAAUUUAAUUAUCCUGCCCCAAAAGGAAAUUUAUUACAAGGACUUCCUUUAACCUCCUUGAAGGCAAUUUAUUUGAUGAAAAUUCCUUUAAUCCACCUCGAAGACAAUUUAUCUUAGGGAAUUCCAACAACCCAGACAAUUUAUUUCUUGGAAAUUCCUUUAACCCACCCUUAAGGCAUUUUAUCAAAGGGAAUUCCAAAAUCAAUUUAUUUCUUGGACUCGGUAUUCUCUGGUACUAGUUAUUUAUAUAUAUUUAACAACACUUUUAUCUUACAUUUAAAAAGAAAUUCAAAAGAAAGGAUAACCCUUACCUAGAGCUCCUGUGGUUCUUGUUCCCGAGAGAAUUGGCUCCACUACGGGCAAAUCUACUACCAAAAACCCAAGUUUCAACCAAUCAAUAACAUCAACACCCAUUUUAAUUCAAUGCAAUAAGUUUUUCUUAACCAAUUUACUUGAUGCAAGUUCUUAUAAUCAAAGUGACAGUAUUCGAGGUGAAGACAAGCAGAAGGGCGUGAUAGAGUUUGACAAAGAUCAAGCUAGUUCCAAUAAAGGGAAACACUCUAUGGCCUAUGCAGGCCAAACUGCAAUGGCAUCCAAUAAGUGAGGACAAUCUUGUAUCUUCCAAGUGGCAGUAGAAUUUAAUUAUAACUACCAUUAUUCUUAUCUUUAGUUAGUAAUAUAACUCUAUUUAUUGUAUCUAUUAGGACAUUUUGUAAUGAAAACCUGUUAGUUAUUUGGUGUGAUUCCAAGGAGUGAUUCCUUUGAAUGAUAUCAGGCUCUACUUAUUUCAUAUUCCUUGCAAUUCUUGGAUUCUGCAAUAAAGUUAUCCGAAUUCUUUUCCUCUAUCAAUACUUUCUUGCUAUCUUUUAUAUAAUGUUCAUUAGUUUACAUAAAUUGUUCCUUUAAUAUCGUUUGGUAUUAAUUGAUAUCAGAGCAAGUUUUGAAUUUUGUUCUUCUAUGCCUGGAAUCGCAGUGGAAAUUCUUAUAAUCCCACCAAUAAAAGAUUACAGGACCCAAACCAAUUCUGAACUCCCCGUAGAAAACAUCUCCAAACCCAUUUUGAAUCACCCACAACAAGCAUCUCCACAACCUAUUAUGAACCCCCCAUAACAAGCACCUAUUAUGAACCCCCCAUAACAAGCAUCUCUACAACAUGAUUCUACUUGUUAAACCAGUUACAACCACAAAUGGAGUUGGUUACCCGCACCUUGGGAGCCAUUGUUGAACAUCUGGAUAACAGUGAAGAAAGGAGUAAUAUUGAUGAAAAUUGAAGGGGCAGAGUUGAUCAAGGAGGAGAUGUGGCUAUAGAUGAUGAAGAAGUAGGAGAACAUUAGCUCAAUUCAGUCUACAGUAACAGGGAGGUCAAAAUUGAAAGAUAUGACUAUUUUCAUUAAUUUUAUUAAAGCUUAUAAUAAAACGUUGUGUUUUUAAUUGGAAUUUUUUUUUUUAUAUGGCUUGGCUUUUUUAUUUUUUUUAAAUGCAAUCUCCUUCCCUUUAUCAUACAGAAAUCCAGUUUUGAGUUUAUGUAACUAUAUUAACAAAACGAUUAAAUGCUUUCGUGUCAGUUUAAUUAUUUAUAUAAAUAAUAAACCCAGUUAAUAUAUUUUUUAAUCAGUUUAUGAUAUAUUUGUCUCAUAGUUGAGUUAGUUAAUGUAUGUUGAUUGAUCCGAAGGUAGUGGGUUCAAGCUAUACUAGGAAUAAUAUUAUGUUUUUUCAAAUUAGUAGCAAAGGCGUGUGGGCUUGUCUCAGGCUCACAUGCUAGUGCCUGAGUUUUACUGUAAUAGACCCUAUCAUAUUAGGCCACGUAAGCCGGAGUGGUUGGAUAUUUUUUUAUUGGUCAUUUUAAAUUUUUUUAUUUUUUUAAUAUAAUUUUUUAAUUUUAUAUUUUAAUGUUGAGUUUUUUUAUUGAGUUUUAUUUGUCAAUAUUGAAUUUAUUAUAAAUUAAUUUUUGUAUUUUUUAUUAUAUAUAAAAUAAAAAAGUUUAAUUUAAAUUAAUAGAGUUUAUAAUCCGAGUAAAGUACUUGGUGGGUUAGUUAUAAACCUGAACUUUUUUAUUUUUUAUUUUUUGGAAAAGUAAAAGACAAAUUAAAAAAAUAAAGUAAUCUAUCUUUUUGAUAAGGUGGUUCAAGAUGCACCAUGAUACGGAUGUAUUUUAUUUUAUUUUUGCCUUUUUCUUUUAAAAAUGUUAUCUAAGAUGGAAAUACUUGCAUCAUGAGUAUGUAUUGGCCUACAAGUCCAAGCUAUUUGUGAUCAGGAUAACCUAUCAUGUCGAGCAUUAGAGUUUUUAAAAGACAAAACGGGGACAAGUGGGAGGCGAAGAAAAAGACAAUAGUAGGUGGUCUAAGAUACAUCUAUCUAUAUAUGACAAUAAUAAAACAAGCCUUUAAAACAACUCUGAAAACAAAUUUUUUUAUAAUUCAUAAUUUAUAAACACAUGCGAUAAAAUAACACUAUUAGAAAUUCGUUAAAUAGCAAUGAAUUUACCGACAAAAUAUUUCUGUCGGUAAUUUAAGGUCGAAAUUACCGACGAAACUUUUUUCGUCCAUAGUUCAAUCGGUAACUGCCGACGGACACUUUUCGUCGGUAGUUACCGACUGAAUUACGGAUAGAAAGUUCAAAAUUAAAAAAAAAUAGACGGGCCGCUGACGUGGAGGUUUUGGCUGGGUGAUUUUUUUCGACAAAUUCAAAAUGACAACGUUGUACAGUCACGUGACCUGCUCACCGUUAAAAAUACCGAUGGAAUCACCGAGGGAUUACAGGACCCAUUUGAACUCCCCGUAGAAAACAUCUCCAAACCCAUUUUGAAUCACCCGCAACAAGCUUCUCUACAACAUGAUUCUACUUCCUUGUUAAACCAGUUACAACAACAAAUGGAGUUGGUUACCCGCACCUUGGGAGCCAUUGUUGAACAUCUAGAUAACAUUGAAGAAAGGAGUAAUAUUGAUGAAAAUUGAAGGGGCAGAAAUGAUCAAGGAGGGGAUGUGGCUAUAGAUGAUGAAGAAGUAGGAGAACAUUAGCUCAAUUCAGUCUACAGUGACAGGGAGGUCAAAAUUGAAAGAUAUUACUAUUUUCAUUAAUUUUAUUAUAGCUUAUAAUAAAACCUUGUGUUUUUAAUUGGAAUUUUUUUUAUAUGGCGUGGCUUCUUUUUUUUUUUUUUAAUGCAAUCUCCUUCCCUUUAUCAUACAGAAAUCCAGUUUUGAGUUUAUGUAACUAUAUUAACAAAACGAUUAAAUGCUUUCGUGUCAGUUUAAUUAUUUAUAUAAAUAAUAAACCCAGUUAAUAUAAUUUUUAAUCAUUUUAUGAUAUAUUUGUCUCAUAGUUGAGUUGGUUAAUGUGUGUUGAUUGAUCCGAAGGUAGUGGGUUCAAGCUGUACUAGGAUUAAUAUUAUAUUUUUUCAAAUUUAUAGCAAAGGCGUGUGGGGCUGUGGGCUUGUCUCAGGCUCACAUGCUAGUGCGUGAGUUUUACUGUAAUAGACCCUAUCACAUUAGGCCACAUAUGGUUGGAUAUUUUUUUUAUUGGUCAUUUUAAAUUUUUUUACUUUUUUUAAUAUAAUUUUUUAAUUUUAUAUUUUAAUGUUAAGUUUUUUUAUUGAGUUUUAUUUGUCAAUAUUAAAUUUAUUGUAAAUUAAUUUUUGUAUUUUUUAUUAUAUAUAAAAUAAAAAAUAAUAAUUUAAAUUAAUAGAGUUUAUAAUUCGAGUAAAGUAUUUGGUGGGUUAGCUAUAAACCUUAACUUUUUAUUUUUUAUUUUUUAGACGAGUAAGAGACAAAUUAAAUAAACAAAGUAAUCUCAUCUUUUGUUUUUUUUUUUUUUGUUUUGCCUUUUUCUUUUAAAAAUGUUAUCUCCUUGGUAAGGAAUCCUUGGUUCCCAACAGCAACUGUAGCAGAGUUGACGGUUGCGUAAAAACAAAUCUCUAAACUCCACCGAAAGUAGUGGAGCAUUAGAAUUUUUAAAAGACAAAACGGGGACAAGUAGGAGACGAAGAAAAAGACAAUAGUAGGUGGUCUCAGAUACACCGUAUAUAUGACAACAAGACAAUUGACCGUGCGAUGCGCGAGUUAUUUUUUUUACAUAAAAAAUAUUAAAAUAAAUAAAAGUUUAAAAAUUUUGAGUUUUUCUGUAAAGUUAUACAUAAAAAAUUUAAGUUUGGCUGCAACGCCUGACCUAAGAGUAAUAUUUAUAAUAUUAAUAAUAAAAUUAAACUUGCUGCAACACUGGACCCAAGAAUAUUGGAUGUGGGUCUAGAUAUAAGGUCGUGUCAUAAAAGUGUGAUAAUUAAAUAGAUUGAUAAAAAAAAACAAAGAAAAAAAGUCAACACAAAGGAAAAAACUAAUGAAGUAAAAGAAAAAGAAAUUAAAUUAAUUGAGUUAACCCUUUAAACCAGGUUAUCCCGUAAAACCUGGGAUUCACAUCAUAAAAGUUUGAUAACUAAAUAAAAAAAUAAAUGACGGGUUUACCCAGAAUUAACUGGGUUAACCCAUUAAACCAAGUUAACCCGUCAAGCCCAGGACACGUGUCAUGAAAGUAUAAAAGUCUGAUAAUUAAAUACAAAGAAAAUUAACUUUAACAAACUAAACUAAAUGAAAAAAAUAAUUUAUCAAAUCAGGCUAACCCAUCAAAUCCAAGAUUCGUAUCAUGAAAAUCUGAUAACUAAAUAAAAAAAUUUAACAUUAACAAAUUAAAUCAAACAAAAAAAAUUCAUUAAAAAAAAUUAAAAAGAAAAAAAGGAAAAAAAUAGUUAUAUAAUAUAAAAUAAUAUAAUACAAUGUAAUUAUAAUUAUAAUUAUAAUUAUAAUAAUAUAAUAUAUUAAUAAGUAAAUAUAUUAGUAAAAGGUGUGACAUGCCCGCGCGAUGCUGCGGGCUUACGGCAUGCUCGUGCAUUAUUGUGGAUUUGUGAAAAAAAUCAUAUAAAAAAAAUGUUAUCAUCCACAAUAUUUUAAAGGAAAAAACUACAAAACUAUAUUCUCAACCAGCUUAAUAUUAAAAAAAAAAAUCGACAAAAACAAUUAUAAAAAAAAACAAAAAAAAAAGAAGAUGAUAAUUUUGGAAGAAAAAAAAGCAAAAAGCAAAUAAUAAUAAUAAAAAAAAAACACGUGGGGAAAGUUAAAGUUAAAUUUUCAACCAGCUUAAAAUCAUUUAAGAAAACACUGUAGCAAUCUAUAGUGUUUUGUGAAGAAAUAUACAACUAUAAUUCUCAACCAGCUCAAUAUUAAAAAAAAAAAUCAAUAAAGAUAAUUUUGACAUAUAUAAAAAAAAACGAAAGGAAAAAAAAACAUUCAUGGAAACACUAUAACAAUCUAUAGUGUUUCGUGAGAAAAUCUACAUUUGUAAUUUUUAACCACCUCAAUAUCAAAAACAAUAAAAACGACAAAGACAAUUUUAAAAAAAACAUAACAAAUAAAAGCAUAUGGAAAAACACUGUAGCAAUCAACGAUGUUUUAAGGAAAAAAACUAAAUUGUUAGCCAAUUCAGUAUGAAAAAAAUAAAUUUGACAAAAACAUAUUUGGAAAAAAAGCAUCGACAAAAAAAAAAUGUGGGGAACACUGUAGCAAGGAAAAAAUAAUAUGGGAAAACACUGUAGUAAUCUACAGUGUUUUAAAUAACUACAAAGCUAAAUUCUCAAUCAGCUUAAUAUAAAAAAAAUAAAAUCGACAAAGAUAAUUAUGAAAAAAAAAUUAUUUAAUAAAAAGACAUGUAGAGAAAUGACUAUUCACUAGACUUGUAGAUAUUAAUUAUAAAGUUUUUGAAAGUUUUCAAUCUAGUAUUUGAUUUUUUUGUUUGCAUAAUUGAAUCUCUUUGAACCCAAAUUAAAAUUUAAUUGCAUAUAUUAUUUUAAUAAAAUAGUUUGAAAAACAAAAAACUGAAGUAGAAACCCAGUAAAAAUAUGUGGUGAUACUAUAAUUUAUUUGUAAAGUUUAUUUUAAUUUCUUAUUUUUUUUAAAUUACUAGGUAAUAUGUCCCUAUAAUUUCUUGAAAUUGCAUUUUGAUACCAAAUAUCACUAGUUGUUUUUUUUAAGGAGAAAGAGUUAUUAUUAAGUAUUUUAACUAUCAAAAUAGUUGAUUUUUUAUGAUAAAUAAUUCCAUAAUCUGGCUUUCUUUUCAAAGUCCAGCUAAGUUUUUGGCUUAUUAUGUUCACAUAGAGAGGUGGGAUUUUAUAAGCCAUGCAAUAUAUUUUUUUUUUUGGUAACCAAACAUAACCACAAGCCCAAAAGAAAACAAUUUUAACAAUACCCACCAAACAGUUGAAGUGCUAUGUAGUAAUGAUUUUUUAGAAUUGUAUUUUUUUUUGGUAAGAUAUUGAAGUAUUUUUUAUUUUUAAUAUUAAUAUAUUAAAUUAUAAAAGAAUAUUUAAAAAAUAUCAAUUUAAUAAUUUUUAAAAUAAAUAAUUUUUAAUUUAAAAAAUAUCUAAAAAUAAAAGAUACCAUACUCCUGAACGAGCUAUAAAAUCAAUCUAAAAUUUUUAUAAACUCAAUUUACAAGCUGGGUACAGAAGUAUCAACACAACUACUUGAGAGACUGUUUAAAAUCAAUCCUUUUUAAAAAUAAAAAAACUCCUUAGUUGUUAAGGAAAGAUUGGUAGUGUGAACAAAUCACCAAAGUCAGCAGCAAGGAAGUUCCAGGAAGUGGGCAGCCUUUCUUCUGCUGCCAUUGUAAAAUCAUAUAUUUAAAAUACAGUAAUAAAAAUGUAAUACGCAGCUAAUUAAUGUAUUAAGCAGCUAAUUAAUGAUGUUGUUCUUUCUUCUUGUUUUUCUAUUUUGAUUUUAUUGUAUUUUUUCAAAAAAAUUAUGAUUGUGAAAGCUAGCCAAAGCAUUAGUUCCAAGCAAUCUAUGAGGUUAUUUAACAGUGUGGUUGUCAUUGCUUUUCAAUGUAUUUUUCAUUCGAAAAUACAUCAAAAUAAUAUUUUUUUUAUUUCUUAAAAAUUAUUUUUAAUAAACAUAUCAAAAUAAUCUGAAAACACCAAACAAUUAUUAAUUUGAAGUAAUUUUUUUUUAAAAUGCUUUUAAAACACAAAAAACAAACAGAAAAACUAGUGUAGGUGCGCUCAACAUUGUCCCGAGAUACUUUUAUAAUCUAAGUUUUUUAAUAUAUUUUUUAUUUAAUUAUGCAAUAUAUUCAUAGAAAACACCCAAAAUAAAAUUAUAGACAAAAAAUAUAUAUUUCAUCAAAAUUCUCUAGUCUAAUUCAUGUAUUUUUCUUCAAAAAAAAGUUUUUGAUGAUAUGAAAAGUAAUAACAACCAGGAAAAGUCUCCUAAGAAACUGUAAUGAUUUGAACUAAAAAAAUAUUUUUUUGUUGAAAACAUAGUUUUUUUAAUUCAUGAAUUUUUUUUAUUGAAAAGAAAUGUACUUUUUAUGAGUAAUUUUAUUUUGCUCAAAUGUCCCUAAUACAUAAUUAUUCAUAAAAUAUUGAAAAUAUCAUAAUAAAAAUGCCUAAUCUUCUUAAAAACAAUUAAAUAAUUGAACAAUCACUUAAAUAUUAUUUUAAUAAAUUGGAUUGAAAGAUUUUUUUUUAUUAAAAAUAAAGAAUAAAAAAAAUGAAAUGAUAUCUAAGAUAAAGGUUAUACAAGCCUUGAAAGAUAAUAUAUGUACGUGUAUAAUACAAAUUAAUAAAUUCUAAGUAGCAAUAUUUAAUGCAAGUUUAAGAAUAAGAGUUUGCUUUGUGUUUUGUUGUGAGAUUAACCAUAUCAAAUUAUAUAUUUAAUAAUAAAUAACUGUGUUGUGUUAUGAGUAAAAUCAAUAAAUUAUUUGGUGUUCUGCUAUCUUGUUGUUUGAAUUAAAAUUAUUAUUAAGAAUAUAAAUUAAAUAAAAUAUUGAACAAACUAAAUGAAUUGCUUAAUAAAUAAAUAAUUUUUUUUUUUAGAAAGCAUGGAAAUGCCAUGACAUUGGCUUUUUAGAUAAUACUACAAUAUUAACAGCCAAAGAAAUCAUCGAUAGCUGUGUAAAUCAUCGAAACUGCCACAAAAGCAGGAGAGGUAUUUCUUUUGGCAACACAUAAAUGAAAAAGAAUAAGAGUUCCUAGAUCUGAAAUAGGAGGAUAUAAUAGAUAUGCAAUAUGAGAGGAGGUUCCAAGAUUUAUUUAUCUUUGCCACCAUUUACAUUUCCACCGAGCAUCAUCUAGUAAAACAAUUCCGGGAUGGACUUAGACAUGAGCUGAAGCUAACCUUGAUAACUAUACAAUUCCGGGAUGGACUUAGAAUUGGUGUGGGCUAGAGGAUAAUGAAUAACACUAUGAAGCCAACUAAUAAGCAGAGUCAAGUAAAUUGUUCAUAAUGAAUAACACUAUUUAAGAGAAGAGACUUUAUGCAUCCUACAAAGAGGACCCCUCCAAAAAAAAAAAGAAAAAAAAAAGGAUAGUCGUUCGAGCAAUUUCAUGGAAGAAGGGGGAGCUUUAUUCACGGGGAAAAUUCAGGGGGAGCUAAAUGCUGGAGCUUUAUUCAUAGUUGGAUCAUUUGUGAUUUUAGUGUUUGCUACUCUCAGUACUUAUAUUAGAAGUGCUCUCAUCUUUGAAGGAAUGUAAAAAAUUGUUAAUAUGAAACUUAUUAUGUAUAGAAAAUUGUUGUUUUUUUUUUUUUUGGGUUUGAAUUAAUAUAAACAUACACAAUUAGUUGAAUUUCAAGAAUGAGCGAAUUUCAAGAAUGAGCUAACUUAAGAAUAAUCAUAAGUAUGUUUUUGUUAGAAAUAACUUUUUACUUAAAUAAAAAAUGUGUUGCAAAAUUGAUUUAUAAGUUUCUUUUUUCUUACUUUUAAAUCAUGGAUUGCAUCUUACACAAUAUUUUUGUUAAUUAAAAAAUAGUUAAUUUGAGUUGUUUUUAUUAAACAUCCUUAUAAUUAAUUCAUUUUCACAGUGAAUUAUUUAUUAAAAACAAAUUAAGAUUAACACUUAAAAAAAAAUAAAAAAAUAAUUCAAGAAUCAUAUUAAAAAAUUCUUAAUUUCUCACAGCACAACAAAAUGCUUUAAAAGAAAGCUAAUAAUCUGACAGGAGGUGGGGCUGCUCUUAGCCAAUGAAAACAGCUUCACAUGCAACACAUCAACAUGAAAAAAAAGAUUAUCAGCCUGUUUUUUCCUUAAAGAACACCCUCUUGGAUUCUCUAGCAUUAGCCACAAAGGUAUCUGCUUGGAAAAACCAUUCCACAAUCUAGAAAUUUAAAUGCCCAAAAAUACAUCGAUUGACAACAAGUCACAUGCCCAUACAUACAUUAACAUUGAUUUCAGAUCUUUUACAAAUUCUAAUCUUUGUAAGAAGCUGUUUUGCUGCCCAUCGGAUGUGACCACCUGACCAGAAGACAAUAUUAUAUUUUUUAAACCCUUCACUCUCAUAAACAACAAUUUAUAUGAUUAUAAAUAGGAUAAAAUAGGAUUACAUAUUUUUAGAAAUUACCUAUUACUGUUUUAGUUUUUUUUUCCUUAAUUAGAGAUAAGUUGAAUAAAGUAGUAACAAUUAUAUUUUUGAGAGAAAAAGUAACUACAACUCCUAAUAAUUAGUUUCGUGUAAGAAAUAAAAAUAAUUAUGUUAAUAAACUUUUAAAGAUAUUUUAAUUGAAUUAAGUAUUUCAACACAAAAUUUAUGCUCUUAUACAGUUAUAUAUUAAUUCUAACAAAAAAUAUGAUUUCUAUGUUUAAAUGUUGGUAUUAAUAACGGAUACAACAAUGAGGCAGUUAAGUUUGGUGGAUAAAAUAAAAUCAUUAAUAAAAUAAAAAUAAGCUAGUAUGUUUGUUACAUAACUAAAAAUAUUUAAUUUUUUUAUAUAUAUUUUUUUAAAUUAUUUUAAUAUGCUGAUAUCAAAAAUAUAUAUUAACAAGUUUUUAUUUCAAAAAUAAUAAUAAUAAUCCUUUGCUAGAAACUUAACAAAAGCCUUUUAUAGGUGCUCCCUCACGCGUCGUCUUAGUUGCUGACCAUUGAUUGCUCAUUGCUUGAUGCGUGGAGAUAGGAUCAGAUUUUUAAAGCUAAAUCUUGCAUCAAGGGUGGCUACUGGUAUUGAUGUCAUUUUCUUAGGUCAAUGAACAUUAUUUUUUUACAAUUUUAUAUUUUCAUGUAAUGUUUUGUGAUAUUUUAUCCUUGCAUUUUCUUGACAAUUUAAUGUGUUUUGUUGCAUUUUCUUUUAAAAUUAGAAAAAAACUCAAAAAAUGUCUUUUCAGUAGUUUUAUUCAUUUCGUUAUUUUUUUCAUUUAUUUUUUGUGUGUCAAGAAAUCUUGAAAAAAACAAUAUAAAAAUACAAAAAAUAAAUAAUAUAAAAAUAUGUAGUUGGGGUUGCAAUUGGACCAAUAUUUGAGUAUCACAAGUAAAAAUAAAAUUUGUAAAUUUUUAAGUCAUAAUUAAGAUUCGAAUUGAAGAUAAAUGGGCUAAAAUUGGCUAAAAUUGAAAGAAAUUGAAGUUCAAGGAUGAGUUUGGAACAAAUAGCCAAGUUAGAAAACCAAUUAAGAGCUUUAUUGAAGAAACAAAUUGAAAUUGGAAUGCAAUUUGACUCAAAACAAUGAAGAAUUGAAGGACCAAAGCCCUUAAAUGGAUAAAGCCGAUAAUUCAGAGGUCAUAUUCUGUCAGGGUUUUACUUGAAAGAAAUUUUUAAAAAAAGGUGAAAUGACCGAACUAAGGAAGAUUCAAAAACCAAUGAUUAAAAUGCAAAAAACGCUGAAAUGCAGGGACUUACAUGAAAAUGGGCCUAAUUUAAUUAGAAAAGAAACCCCAGGGCCUAAUUAGAAAACCUGUUUCAAAUAAAGUGAGACGAUGUGUUUUCUUGGGACUAGAGUUCAAAUUGCCAACAAACUCCUCUUGCCAUUCCCUAAUUGCACUGAGCCAGCUAAUCUGGAUGAAAGUUAUCGAUAGCUGUGAAAAUCAUUGAAACCGCCACAAAAGCAAACUCAAAUUAGUUAUGAAUUGGAUUCGAUGGAAGGAAGAUGGGAAGAGGGGAAAUUAAAGAGAGAUGAAGAUCUGCGCAUGGCUACCUGUUUUUGAGAGAAUUAUGGAAAGUUAUCCCAACUCAAAACGGCACCAAUUAUAAGUUCAGUAAAAAAAAUCUGGAACACAACAGAUGGAAAAAACUGCUACAAUUUAGGCAAGAAAUUCAGAAUGAGCCAAGAUUUCAAGUGAGAUGAAACUUUUUGUCUCACUUUUUUUUUUUUUUUUUUUUUAAUAGUAUCAUGGAUAACUAAACAGAGGAACGUUAAGAGGAUAGAAUAUUUAGAAUCACUAGCAAUAGCCAGCUGCUAGGUAUCUGCUCGAAAAACCCUUACUAUUAAUGCUAGGCAGUAAGGUUCUACUUAUAAUUUAGAAUUAGUUCUCAGCAACUUCACAGUUUAACUAAAACAUUUCUUAGCAAGUCUUUUGUAAUGAAUAAAGUAGCCAGGAUCAUUUCCAGCAUACUUCCACCUUUAACGAAGCAAUUAGGGUUUCUAGCAACUUUAACUUGCUAUAUACAAGUUUAACUCUUAUCAUGAACAUUGGCAUUUAAUGGAAAUUCAGUGCAGGAUAAUAAGGAAUUAAGCUUCAUGAAACAUGAAAUAAUGCAAGAGUUAAACAGGCUCUUGAUUUCCAACAUCACAAGCUAUAUGCCUAGAAAGAAGCUUGUGAAAGGGUUUGUAAUUAAGCAGCAAACAAUUAGAAAUCAGAGGAUACAUUGCAAUUGCCAGCAAUGUAUCUGCUCGAAAAAACCAUUCAACAAGGGGUUCUGCGAGGAAAACAUGAGAUUGUUCAUACAAUAGAUUGGAUAUCAGUUUCAAACUUUUGAACAAAUAAUACAACAUCAAGUCUCAGUCAUCACAUGAUCAUACGAAAACAUUUAUUCAAGAUCUUAAGCGGCAUUGCCAGGCCCAUUUCCAAAACCACAUAAGCAUAUGCAAUAGAAACAGAGCAUCAAACUGACAGAGAAAACAUACUGAUGCAGCAAAUACCCAAGUCGUAGAGCCAUUAAUUUGAGUAGAAAGGAGAAUGAAAGUCCACACAUUAAACAGUACGCACAUACAUGAGUAGACAUUAUGCUGUUUUUGAAGAUUCAGACACUUCAAAAGAAACUCAAAUGGGCCAACACACACUUAUUUUUGGGAAGUUCACACAGCAAACACGUACAUAGAUAAGUCGAAAUCUUCUUUUGGUAAAUAAAAUUGUUACAAUGUGAAGCCAAUUUCAAUCCCAUUGCCAAUGAAACAGUUGGAAUUAUUUCCACCAAUCUAAAACAUAUUCCAUGUAAUAGGUAACAUGGACAACCUUGCCUGAUGCAAACAUGAAGAACAAAGACAUGAAGACAUGAAUAUCCGUGAAAUCGCCUAAGGUGGAGUUGAUCAUGUAAUAGGUAACCAACCUUGCCUGAUGCAAACAUGAAGAACACAGACCAUCCAUGCAUAUCGCAUAUGUUAAUUUAAUUCGAACUUUAAAAGUUGAAGGAAAAGGAGAGCAGAUAAAUAAUUGCAGCCAUAUCACCUGGUUUGGGCAAGAAAGAAUUAUUAGACUAGCAAACAUCAUCAUCACCAUACUCUUCUACUUCUUCUUUCCACCCAGUAUCUCGGGUCCGCUCUCUAUUAGUUCUUGAAUCUUCAGCUACUUGAGAUAUCUGUAAACCAAUUCAAGCAUGGCAUACACAUUCUAACUUGUAAAUCUUAUUAUUGAGCGAAAUAAGAAACAAACACACUAAAAGAGAUGCAAGAAAUCAAGUCAAAUCUACAGCACCUCUGAUUGAGCACUCAUUGAACCAUCUGGUGUAAUAGCAAAUUUUGUGCUCAACUUUGUGCAUUCAUACACCUUCAACUUCUCCAAACGUGGGAAUAAGAAAUCACAACAUCCGAAACUGAAGAGGACAAUACUUGAUAAUUGUUUUAGCAACAGCUCCUUUAGAUCGGAAAGCACCAUCUCCUUCUCAACAUUGACAGGUGAAGCAUGAUCAUCCUGCCCAAAUACUCCCAAUACUUGAGAGGAUUUUGUUACUCUAAGUAUUUGGAGCUUUGGGAGACUUAAAGCCAUGGCUACUGGGAAAAGGCUCUUCAACGUGUUGCAUUCUCUAAUCUCAAUAUGACUUAAAUUGGGAAAGCAUAAAGAUCGAAGAGGAUCUCCUAACAAUAUCUGGUCGUUUUCAUCAUCAUCCUUAGCAAUGAUUUGCUCUAAUUCCUCACAGGACAAUAUCUUUAGAGCUUUCAGUUGAACUAGAUUGAUAAUCAUGCUGCAUGUGAAUACAUGUGUCAGUCUCUUACAAUUAACCACCUCUAAAGUAGUCAAUUUGCUCAGCACAAGACCCUUCCAUAUACACCUCAUGUCAGGUAGGGAUUCCAAGUAUAAUGUUUCCAAAUUUGUCAGCCCCUGCAUCAAAAGAAAACAAGGAUACCAAUUUGUUAGAUAUAAUUCCUAAUAAAUUUUGUGCACUUUGGAACUAUAUAAUUUAAGUAAAUAAAUGAACGACUUGUCCCCAAUACUUCAGCCAAAAACUUAACAACAAAAGGAUACAAGUAGACAUGGCAACAGGGCAUGGGAACAUGAAAUCAGAAGUUGCAGGACUGAAAGAGACAACUCAAUAUAAGAUGGAGGUUUAUCUUCCUUUUCAAAUACUUCCAUUAAUUGGGGGAAGAGCCUCAAUUUCACUCAAACUUUGGAAAGCAUAAAGAUUGAAAAAUCUAGGUAGGAUUUCAUUACAAUAAUUAUUUGUUCUAGUGACAGCUACCACAAAUUAGGAAGCACCAUCUCCUUCUCAACUUUGAUAGGUGAAGCAUGAUCAUCUUGCACAAAUACUACUAAUAAUUGAGAAGCUUCACUUACUUUCAGUAUUUGGAGCUCUGGGAGACCUGAAGUCAUGGCUAUUGGGAAGAUACUCUUCAACUUGUUGCAUUUUCUGACAUCAAUUUCACACAAAUUGGGAAAGCAUAAAGAUCAAGAAGAUCUUCUAACAAUAUCUGGUCGUUUUCAUCAUCAUCCUUAGCAAUGAUUUGCUCUAAUUCCUCACAGGACAAUAUCCGUAGAACUUUCAGUUGAACUAGACUGACAAUCAUGCUACAUGUGAAUACAUGUGUCAGUCUCUUACACUUAACCACAUCCAAAGUAGUCAAUUUGCUCAGCGCAAGACCCUUCCAUAUACACCUUGUUGUAACCCAUUUUUGGGUCCCUAUAAAAAAAAUAAUAAAUAAAAAAAAAUAAAAAAAAUAAAAAAUAAAAAUGUGCGCAGUACUGGCGCAGUAACCUGUAGAUUAAUUCUCUGGUUACUGUACACACAGUAACCCGGUUACUAUGUGCACAGUAACCAGCCAAAAAAAAAAUAGAAAAGGGCUAAACGGUGCCGUUUUGAACGGCACUGUUCCCCUUUCUUCCCCGCCUAACAUACAGCAGUAGAGAAGGAAAAAAGAUGUAUAUUUAAUGGCGUUGGUCCCUCCAGCCCACCGACCGAAGACAUUGGCCGACCGCCUACCGCACCGCCGAAACUGAGGGAGGCACGCCUGGACAGCCACGCCCGACCAGCCGCCGCAUGACCCCACGAUGAAAAAAAAAAAAAAAACACAUGCUCACGGGCUAUAAAUGGAGGAGAAGAGAGGAGGAAGGAGGAGGGAGAGAGAGGGAACAGAAGAGGUAACAGAAGGGAGAAUAGAGUGAGAAGAGAGGAGAGAAGGCAGAGAAGAAGAAGGGAAGAGGCAGAGAAGAAAACGGGAAAAAACAGAGGAGAGAGAGAGAAGGAAAACCGCCGGCCACCGCGAACCGCCAGCGCCGCCGCCGCCACCCCUGCUGCAUCAGCUGCUGCCAGCAUCAACACAGCUUCAGGUAACGUCCUACCUUUCCCGUCAUUUUUUUGCUUCAGUUCAUGCAGAACGUUUACGUUCUGCAGAAUUAAUUAGCUAGUUACUGUGCACAGCACAGUAACUAGCUAAUUAAUUCACAUUACUGUGUGCACAGUAACCCCCGGUUACUGCAUUGCUAAUUAAUUCUGUGGUCACUGUGUGUACAGUACCCCCGGUUACUAUGUGCACAGUGACCAGCCUAUUCUUUGAGCCAGGUUCGGCCCAACCCAUAUAUUUGGGCCUGAUCCGACCCGUUUCAAAAAAAAAAAAUCAAAAAAAUUUGUUUCAGUAUUUUAUAAUUUUUUUAGUGUAAUUUUUAUGUCAUUUCGAUUAAUAUUUGAUGGUAUUUUUUUAUGUUGUUAAAAAUACAAAAAUCUGAUUUUUCAAAUACCCGGUUUUCGUAAAAAAAAAAAAAAAAAAACUUCCACAAAAUACAAAAAAUUAAAAAAAGAAAAAAAACUGUUUUUGUACAUACGGCCAAGUGUCUCAAAGCUAAAAAUUCAUAUUGUAUUUUUUUCAUACACAAAAAAAAUGUUUUAGCAUGCAUUUUGGCUUUAAUAACCAGUUUAUUAAAGUCAAGAGAAUAUUGGCCAAUAUUUCAAAAACAACAAAAAUUUUAUUUUGUUUCUCUUAGUAUCCGGGGUAUGACUUUACACGUAAUGCAUAUUCCGGAUAUUUAAUUCUUUUUUUUUGGACAAUAGAACCUGGGGUAUGACAUUACAUGUAAUGCGUAUUCCGAACAAUAAGAAACCACAACACGACCUUAGAUUUUAUCAGACAAAACAAUGCAGCCUACCUUAGGUAGGGCGUAGUUGGGGUGCUAAUACCUUCCCUUUACGCAACCAGUCUUCGUACCCGAUCUCUAAAGACCAGUUAGGGUUCCUAGUAACCAGAAUACUAGGUGACGACUCCCAGUCCAUAUUUGCACUUGUAGAGACAAGAAUUCCUUGUCUCUCCCUAUUUUCCAGGAAUAAAUAUUUUUCCAUUUUUUCCUUGAGGGUGGACGAUCGCCGCGCCGCCGCACACGUGCGAUACACCUCAUGUCAGGCAGGGAUUCCAAGCAUAAUGUUUCCAAAUUUGUCAAACCCUGCAUCAAAAGAAAACAAGGAUACCAAUUUGUUGGAUAUAAUUCCUAAGAGAUUUUGUGCACUUUGGAACUGUAUAAUUUUGGAAAAUAGAUGAACGAAUUGUCCCCAAUACUUCAGCCAAAAACAUCAACAAAAGGAUAUAAGUAGGCAUGGCAACAGGGCAUGGGAACAUGAAAUCAAAGUUGUAGGACUGACAGAGACAACUCAAUAUUAGCAGAUGGAGGUUUAUCUUCCUCUUCAAAUACUUCCAUUAAUUGGGGGAAGAGCCUCAAUUUCACUCAAACUUGGAAAGCAUAAUGAUUGAAAAUCUAGGUAUCAUUUCAUUACAAUAAUUAAUUUCUUACUUCUUAAGCCCUGCAUCAAGAGACAGGGAAAGAUACAUUUAGACAACUCCUUUUAAAUAUAGUGGAUGGCUAAUGGAUUUAUCUCCACUUAUCAUAGUGUAUUGAAGUUGACAAUUUAAAUAAAAAAGGAAAAAAUUAUUGGAGAAAUAUAAAGGACGUACUUGUAGCUGUGCCGACAAAUUACCCAAUUCUUCAUGGCCAGAGAUGCAUAGAUUUUGCAAAGAAGGUAAUUGGGCAGCAAAAUUCUUCAAACCAAAAAAGCUGUAAUUUGAUCUGGAAAAAAGCUCCAAUUUUCUUAGUCGAGGGAACUUGAUGAUGCCAUCUCUGGUGAGUGCAUCUCCUUCUCCACUGUGAAAUAUUUGCUUUAAAUUGUCAGCAAAUUCAAUCUCCAUCUCUUCCAGGUUCAGAAGGCUUGGAGACACAGAGAUAGGGAAGACAUAUUCCAGUUUACAACACUUUUCUAUGAAGAUAAAUUUUAAUUCUGGGAAGCCAGGAGACUCUGGAAUUAUCUCCCAUUCACCAUCCUCUUCUUUGAUAAUAUGCUUCAAUUCACCACAUUUUUCUAUCUUAAGUGUCUGCAGUUGUGGUAGACUCUGAGCGAGGGACGAUGUGAAGAUAAAUGUCAGUUUGUCGAGAGAAUACAAAUUCAGAAGAGUAAGACUUUGGAGGCUGACAUGUCUGGUGGACCCCUUCCAUAUACAUUUAAGCUCAGGUAGCUCUCGCACCUGUAACUUUGUUAAAGAUGACAGCAGCGGCAGCUCCUUCUCCUCACUGCUUCCUUCAUCAGCAUCACCCAAUUCAAAUACCUCUUCCAAUGAUUUGCAGUCCUUUAUUUCCACACUCUUUAGAUUUUUCAGAGCUUGCAGCAAUUUUGCUGGAAACGGAGUGCGGACAUCCCCACAAUCCCUCACUUCUACAAAUUCUAAUCUUUGUAAGAAGCUGUUUUGCUGCCCAUGGCCAUGGGCAACCAUCUGAUCAGAGAACAAUAUUAUGUUUUUUAAACCCUUCACUCUCAUAAAAACAAUUUAUAUGAUGUAUAAAUAGAAAAAAAAAAUAGGAUUAAAUAUAAAGUACAUACUUGUAGCAGUGCCAACCAAUUACUCACUUCUUUCCACCCGUUAUCUCUGGUCCACUCUCUAUUAAUGCUUAUAUCUUCAGCUACUUGAGAUAUCUGUAAGCAAUUCAAGCAUGGAAUACACAUUCUAACUUGUGAAUCUUAUUAUUGAGCGAAACAAGAAACAAACACACUAAAAAGAGAGAUAAGAAAUCAAGUCAAAUCAGCAGCACCUCUGAUUGAGUACUCAUUGAACCAUCUGGUGUAAUAGCAAAUUUUGUGCUCAACUUUGCGCAUUCAUACACCUUCAACUUCUCCAAACAAGGGAAUAAGAAAUCACAGCAUCCGAAACUGAAGAAUAAAAUACUUGGUAAUUGUUCUAGUGUCAGCUCCUGCAGACAAGAGAGCACCAUCUCCUUCUCAACAGUUAUAGGUGCAGCUUGAUCAUCCUGCCCAAAUACUCCCAAAAAUUGAGACGCUUUUGUUAUUUUAAGUAUUUGGAGCUUUGGAAUACCUGAAGCCAUGGUUACUGGGAAGAGACUCUUUAACUUGUUGCAUUCUUCAACCUCAAUUUCACACAAACUAGGGAAGCAUAAAGAUAAGAGAUGAUCUCCUGACAACAUCUGAUCCUUUUCAUCAUCAUCCUCAGCAAUGAUUUGCUCCAAUUCCUCACAACUUGAUGUCUUUAGAACUUUCAGGUGCACUAGAUUAGCAAUCAUGUUGUAUGUGAAUACAUAUGUCAGUCUCUUACACCCAUUCACCUCCAAAAUAGUCAAAUUGCUCAGCACACGACCCUUCCAUAUAUACCUCAUGUCAGGCAAGAAGUUCAAGUAUAAUGUUUCCAAACUCCGGAGUGAAAGUUCAUGCCCACCUCUUCUAUCAGUUACAAAACUUACAACCUGAAUUCCAUCUUUUAUUCCUCCGCAUUCUCUAAUAUAUAUAUGUCUCAAAUCUGAAAGCCCCUGCAUCAAAAGAAAACUACUUUGGAACUAUAUUAUAACUUUGGUACCCCAAUUUGUUGGGUAUAAUUCCUAAUAAUUUUUGUGCACUUUGGAACCAAUUAUCCCCAAUACCUCAGCUAACUACUUAUCAACAAAAAGAUAUAAAUAGACAGGGCAAUAAGGCAUGGGAUAUGAAAUCAUAAGUUGCAGGACUAAACACAUACAACUCAAAUUAAGCUCAAUAUUGGCAGUUGAAGUUUUAUCAUCCUUCCCAAAUACUUCCAAUUUUAGGGAAGAGCCUCAAUUUCACUCAAAUAAAGAUUGAAAAUACAUGUCUCAGUUCAUUAUUUCUAACUUCGUAAGCCCUGCAUCAAGAGACCGCGAAUGAAGUAGUUAGAGAACUCCUUUUAAAUUCAGUGGAUGCAUUUAUCUCUACUUAAUUAGGUUUUAGAAAGUUGGAGGAAGAAGGAAGAAAUUUAAAGUUGACAAUUUAAAUGAAAAGGUACAAAAUUAGCAGAGAAUAUAAACGAAUGGUUAGAUUUAAAUGACGUACUUGAAGUUGUUCCAACAAAUUACCCAAUUCCUCAUGGCCAUGAAUGGUUAGAUUUUGCAGAGAAGGCAACUGGGCAGCAAAAUCCCUAUGACCAAAAAAGCUGUAAUUUGAUUCAGACCAAAGAAUCAACUCUCUUAGCUUAGGGAACUUGAUGAUGCCAUCUCUGGUGAGUGCAUCUCCUUCACCGUAAAAUAUUUGCUUUAAAUUGUCAGCUUUAUCAAUCUUCAUCUCUUCCAGGUUCUGAAGACUUGGAGACACAGAGAUAGGAAAGACAUAUUCAAGUUCAGCACAGGCAAAUAUAUAAAGAGUUUUUAAUUCUAGGAAGGCAAGAGACUCUGGAAUUAUUUCCCUUUCAUCAUCCUCCUCUCUUAGAACAUACUUCAAUUCACGACAAUUUCUUAUCUCAAGUGUUUCUAGCCGUCGUAGACUUUGAGCGAGGGACAGUGUGAAGAUAAAUGUCAGUUUGUGAAGACGGUUCAAAUUCAGAUGAAUAAGACUUUGUAGGCUGACAUGUCUGGUGGGCCCCUUCCAUAUACAUUUGAGCUCAGGUAACAUUUCCAGCUCCAACCUUGUUAAAGAUGACAGCAGCGGCAACUCCUCCUCGACAUUGCUUUCAUCAUCCAAUUCAAAUACCUCUUCUAAUGAUUUGCAGCCAUUAAUUUUCACACUCCUUAAAUUUUUCAAAACUUGCAGCACUUUUGAUGGAAAAGGAGUACAGAUAUCCCCACAAUGCCACACUUCUACAAAUUCCAAUCUCUGGAAGAAGCCGUUUUGCUGCUCAUGAUCAGAAAACAAUACUAUAUUUUUUAAACCCUUCACUCUCCUAAAAACAAUUUGAGACACAGUAGGAAAUAACUGCUCCAAUAUCUCUGCAUUUAAGGAUGUGGCGCUUGUAUUAUCCAAAUGUAAUCUUGUCGAGGUUGGGUAUCCUACUGGAUCCCUUAUAAAUGGAUUAUAAUUCCCUAAAAUUAUAUCAUAUUUGAACACUCUGGGAAAAACAAAAUCUCUGGGAAUGCUUUCAACCUCUGGUAUCCUCAAUGAUAAUACAGCUAAAUUAGACAACGAAUUUAGUUCUGUUAGGCUUGCGUUCAUUCCUCCUGUGCUGUCACAUCCAUCAACAUCCCACCCCCCAAAGCUCUUUUUCCCGAUCAGCAGCUCUUCUAACUUCCACAACCUUCCAAUCAAAUUCACAGGGAUCCUUCUUAGCCUUUGACAACCUGUCACAUCCAGCAACCUUAACUCCUUGAGUUCUCCUAUUUCAUCAGGUAAUUCUUCGAUGGAUAAGCACCACAUAAGACCAAGAAUCUUAAGUCCCUGCAGCUUUCUCAACCAAAUGAGGUCCUUGCAUUCGCACUCCAUCAACACCAUCGAUUGAAGUUUCGUUGAGAGUUCGAGUGAUUGCAAUGACAAACACCCUCCCUUCACAGACAAAACUUCAAUUUCUUUCAUCCCUUCAAAAAACCUCUCUGGAACAUUCAAACCAUCAUCAACUUCUAAUAAUAGAACUUUGAGCUGUGGACAUACCAAUCCUUCAGGAAGUUCUGCUAGUUUAUUGCCCAUUAACGAAAUUGUGGUAAAACCUUCAAAGCUUUCAUUGCCAAUGGGCCACUUCUGCAACCCAACGCCAGCCUUUACCAUGAAUCCAUUUUCUGAUGAUGCUAUCUGAAUAGCAACAUCACGAACCAAGUCAUGCAUUUUCACAUG
RNAcentral lists this long non-coding RNA (76418 nucleotides) under Populus tremula. RNAcentral describes it as "long non-coding RNA (PTRE_LNC000335)". Lineage: Eukaryota; Viridiplantae; Streptophyta; Magnoliopsida; Malpighiales; Salicaceae. The record is from RNAcentral.